AUAUCAAUUCAAAUCCCACCUCAAUUCAAACCCCACGUCACAUCCAAAUCUCAUAUCAUAUCCAAAUUUAAAUUCACAUCCAAAAAUCAAUCGAUUUUACACUUCGUUUUCAACAUCCAAACAUUGAAGAGCAAACAUCCAAACAUCAAACAUCGCUGUUACAAAUUUAAAUUCACAUCCAAACAUUCAUUUUACACUGCUGUCGUCGCCGUCGGCUCUCCGCCGCUGUCGCUGUCGAACCUCCUUUGCUGGGACUCCUUUGUUUUGCUUGGGGUUGGGGUUGGGGUUGGAGUGGACUCUCCUCCUCGUCGGAGGGCGUCGGCCGGCGAUGGCCGACCUCCCGCAGCCGCCAUGCCUCAUCUCGCUCCACAUGGCCUCCUGAGACCACGACGACGACCCACCCCCCAACCACACCUGCCUCCGGAUCCGCGGCCGCUAGGCGCACCUCGAGCUCAUCAUGCGCAUGGCCGCCGACCGACACGCCGAGCUCCACCGCCUCUCCCACCACCGUGCCGUCAGCCCGCACCCUCCCCGCGGCCCGGCGGCGGCGGAUCAGCGCCCGAGCUCCGCCACCCACGCCCGAGCUCGCCGCGGCCCGUGCCCGCACCAGCCCUCCCUGUCGCCCGUGCCAGAGCACGCCGCCACCCGCGCCUGUGGAUCUGGAUGGAGGGAGAGAGGGAGUGGAGGGAGGAGGAGAUAAGAUAAGGAUGGGUAGGUGGAGUUGAGGAUGGAGGAGAUAAAGAUAAGGAUGGGUAGGUGGAUUUUAAAUGUGACUUUUCAAGGGUCGUUGCGAUGCGGUCUUCGCCAGAUUUUUGUUGGUGGUAGGAUAAAAGGUCUGCCAUAAAAAUAGGGUUAUUUUUGCAAGCGGACUUCUUAAGGCGACUGCUAGCGAAGACCUGUUUACGCUGGCGGCCCGUGACCCCCCCCCCCCAAUUUUCUUCGCUAGCGGUUUUCUCUCAUUGCCGCCAUGAAAAUUUGUUUCCAAACGCCAUGAAAAACCGUUUUUCUAGUAGUGGAAAAUGUUUAUAAAAUAUUCAUGUGAUAUAAUAUACAAAAUGUGCAAGCUCAAGCUGUUUUUUGAAAUAUGUACCUGAAAAUCUAUUGUAAUUAUAAGACUUUCUUUGAAAUCACCAUGAUGAUUCUUAAAGAAAAUUUUUCUAUGAUCUGCGAAUUAAAAUAAUGAAUGAUACAGUGUUAGUUGAAAUUUUAGGACAAUCAAACUUUUGAAUAGAGAUAAAGUCUCAUAAGUAUUUUUUUUAUCUCAAACGUGCUCUUUAUUAACUCAUUUGCUCGGUACGAUCACGAGAUACCAGCACAUUUACAAAUUCUGGGAGGGGUCCGCCCAAACAGAUAGCUGACCCGGGUCCCAACCCACACUAAGACGGACAAUGUCAUGAGCACACCUAUUACAUGAACUCUAUUUGGAGCAGAGCUCUGAUUUGCUUGAAAAUCACACCGCCCGGAGAACAAUCAAAGUCACAUGAUGUCAAGGCACCCACCAGUGCAGAACAAUCAGUCUCAAUAGCAAAGUGAGAGAUGCCAUGGAGUGAAGUGAUCCGAAGAGCACUCAGACAAGCUUCAGCCUCAGCAUUCAUAGCAUCAUGAACUGACCCGAUUCUUCCUGCACCCGCCAGCACUCCACUUCCUUCAUGGUCCCGAAUCACGAAACCCCAAGCACUUGUUUUAUCAGUUUCAAAAAAGGCACCAUCAACGCUUCAGCUCACCCAAAGGAGGAGGUUCCCAGGACUUUUGCACUCGGGGGAUCUCCGGUUUGUUUCAUCAGGGAAAUUUCUGCAACCAUCCUUUAUACUCUGAAAAUUACUUCCUCCGGCGCUCUUCUUUCCUCCUCAGCAUUCACCUUAUUUCAAGCAUCCCACCAGUUCCAGAGUAAGAACACUUUAGUCUGUCUGGUUUUCUCCCCCACUUUCAGGAUGUGUUUGCAAACUUCCGAAGCUGACACACACUGAAGAAGUUCUAGCCGGGUGUCCUCCAAAUCUAGCAUUCUCCAACAAUGCUUCACAAAAUUGCAUUUCAGAAAACAAUGACCUUCAUCCUCAUCCAUCCAAAGACAGACAGGACAUCUAGUAUCCACCUCCAAACCCCUUCUGUCGAUAUUCAGUCUCAAAGGCAGGCUGUUAUGAGCUAGGCGCCAGAGGAAAUGUUUCACCUUUGGUGGGUAAUGCAGGCUCCAAAUUCUUCCCCAUUCUAAUUUAGCUACCCCAGAGCUGACAGAUGAAGAUUCUCCCACCUGUCUUAAUGAAAGGCGUUCACGCUGAUCUUCUAGGGUGUGGUAUGCAGACUUAACCGAGAAUCGACCUCUAGGAUCAAAAUGCCAAGCCGCGGUGUCCUCAAAUCCAAGUCGCACUGGAAUAGCAAGAAUGUUGCGCACAUCUUCUUCCCAGAAAAUAUCCUCAACAAACUUUCUAUCCCAACCUCCUGUUGACGGAUCGAUCAAGUCUGCCACCUUGUUGAGCACCACUCUGUUAGCAAUGAAAUUUGGUAAGUCCUAAAGUCAUCAUCGGCUGAAAUUAGUAUUGGCUUCGGAGUUCUCGAAUCAGCCGAUUGGAGUCAUCAAAUCGCCAGCAACCAUGUUUCCGAUGGAGUCAGAUCAACUAAAAGGAAUUUAUCUAGAAGAGUCUGAGUCCAAAGAGGAUGCGGCAUGGUAAGUUAUCUAUUAAUUAGGCAUAGUUUAGUUUCCUUUUAUCUUUAAGAAAGUGUGUUUAGUGUCCGAUUAGGACUUUAUGUUUUCUUUUUAUCUUUAGAAAAGUUUCUUUCUUGUCUUACAAGGACUAGUAUUUACCCAUGGGUAUAAAUAUGUACACCUAGGGUCAUUGUAAUCAAUCUCAUCGAUCAAUACAACUACUCUCGGCGCAUCGCCACCCUCUUUACCGAGGUUUUUACUUAUCUACCAGCGGAAUUUGGGCACCUGACGUGGGGCUGCAUCGGUUCAGUUCGAUCUCCGACGAAGGGGUAAGUCCUAUGUUCCGUCGGGUCCUAGUGAAUCUGUCAUCUACGUCGGCAUCGUUCAAGGCUGCAUCAGUACAUUCGACCUCUUGGAUUGCUCUGGUUUGGAUGAUAUAUUUGCCUACUUAUUUAUGAUAUGCCUCUGUUAAUCUAAUCUUAGCAUAUCAAUUUAGCUCUAUCGGCUGCUUCUCGAUUUAGGGUUUAUCCCGGUAUCGGCUAAAUCGUGUUGCUAGAUUAGAUUAGCUUAGGCAUCUACCACCCUGAAAAUCAGUCAAGGGCUUGAUUGUCUAGAUAUUGUGUUUCUUUUCAUACUUAGUGCUGCAUCAGUUAAGUUUGAUCUACUAAGUCGUGCUUAGAACCAUAAUCUCUAGCCUGCUUGUUGACUGCCAAUAAGGGUUUCAUCGGGGUUUCAGCCGAUGGAUUAUGUGGACGUUGCAUCGGCUUAUAAGGAUUAUACAUAUAAGUUGGAUAUAGCCGAUGACAACAAAUGUUUCACUGUUUAAUAUAAUCUUAUGGACUUUAUGACAUCGGAUCUCCAGCCGAUGUAUGCUUUAACCUUCGGAUUAAUGCUUAUUCUAUCAUAUCACAUUGUUAGCCGAUUAGUUUAUAUUGGAUAUUAUUGUUAUUUUAUUACAUCAUCAUCAGCCGAUUGCCUUUAUAUCAUCAUCUACAUUGGACAUAUAGCCGAUUGCUUAAACCCUAUCGCUGUCGGCUGGUAUCGGUAUCGGCUAUUAUCGGCUAUCGGCUGGAGUUACUCCAUUGGCUUGUCAGCCGAUUGGCUCAUUGAUCUACCGUUUACAUAUCUUGUCAGUUGCAGGAUCAAAUUGACUGGCACGCCCGCAUCUCAUCAACCUUUGGACCUUCACAGGAGCUAAGCAGAUCUCCUAGACCGGUGUGUUCGAUUUUUUUCGUCAACACACUCCCAUCCUCAGAGUGACCGGUCUCAGCUGGGAUCCAUGGAUCCUUCCAAAUGUCAAUCCGAGAACCAUCACCCACUUGCCAAAUCAAACCUGAACUAAGUGCCUUGACGCCUCGAACGAUGCUUCUCCAUGAAUAGGAAAUUCCCGGCCCUUCCUCCACCUCCUCAGAUUCCCAUUAGCAAAGUACUUUGCAUGCAACACCCUCGCACAUAGUGAGUCCGGGAAUGACAACAGGCGCCAGGCCUGUUGGGCAUGUAUAGCUAAGUAAACAGGUGAACAUCUCUAUACCCCAACCCUCCUUGUGGGUAUCGGGGUCCCGUCACAGGAGUCGCUCCCUGUGGGAUCGGCUUGGGCGUCGGUCCUCAAGCUGCAGCAGAGAACCAGAGAGAGUUGACGGCCGGCGUCAGGGCAAUGAAGACAGGGGGCGUCCACGCAACCGGGAACGCUCGGGUCCUCGAAGCAGAAGCGGUCGGUCCAGAGAGCCAAGUGAGGUUAGACCACCCUUUCCCUCUUCUUCUGCCCCUCAAUUUGGAGUUGGCACAGAUCUUCGUUCUUCUUCCUCUCCCUCUCAGUCUGCUUCCCCCUGCAAGCAUCCAAGCUCCCGCCGCCAUCCGAGCCCGAAUGGGGGCGAAGCUGCAACUCCCUCUGCCAGCCUAGUUGUCCAAGAUCAAGCUAUUCUUCAGGCUGACUCAUGCUUCUGUUCGCAGGGGCAGGGAGAUGUCCUCUCCGUUUUGGAGAGUCAUCUUGACCCAAUGUUGCAUGAGGCGUCCGUGCAGCAUUCCAUCUACUCACCAGACAAUGCUUCUCCCCGAGCGGCUUCUCCUGUUUUUGUACUUUCUUCUUUUGCAGAACAGGGGACUCCGCAUUCCAAUGGGGUGGCGACGGAUGUGCAGACUCAAGCAGGGCCGAUGGCGAGGCAGGGCAACAGGGUGGAAGAGUUCUUCUCUGCUCUCUCGACUCCUCUUCAGCAGCCGCUGCUACCUGCUCCCGACGUCAAUGUUUGUCGUCCAAGCCGUGCUAAGGUGACAAUUCCUGCCAUCUCCUCGGCGCAAUGCCACAGUGAGCGCCUCCUUUGCAAGAAGCGGGCGGGAGCAAAACCUGAAACUCUUGCUCAAGAAAUCCUGUCAAAUAAGUUUGGCAUUUUGGAUGAUCAUGCUUCCUUUGAUGAUAACAUCAAAAAGAUUUAUUUGCAGCGCUACAAGAAGCCUCUCUCUCCAUCCUCCUUGAAGACAAUCGCUGAGCUCGUGGAGAAGGGGGAUGCAAGACCAUCCGUCUGAAGGCUGCAAAGAAGAAGGCGGCGGUCACGCCCCUGUGAGCAGAACGCCCCAGGAUGAAGAUGGGCUGCACAACAACCAUGAAGAGCCUUUUGUGCUUGACCUACUUCUGCCUGUUGCUUGCUGUGUUAAAGCAGAGUUGUAGCAUCAUCUUUUGCCUGUGUUUCUUCCAGUGUGGCUGGUUGUGUUUCGGCAAAAGCUUUGUUCCUUUCCCCAUCAACCAAAGAUGUAGUUGCAGCAGCUCAUGUUUCAAUGUCACAAGACAAUGUCUACCUGUUUAAUUGGAAUGUUAGGGGCCUGAAUUCAAAGGCGAAGCAAGACGCCGUGAAAAUUAUUUUGCAACAAUAUGGUGCUACUAUUGUUUGUCUCCAAGAAACUAAGAUUGCCUCUUUAAAUGAUCGUGUUGUUCUCAACAGUUUGGGCCAAAAUUUUAUGCGGCAAUAUGUGGCCCUUCCGGCGGAUGGCACCAAGGGUGGUCUGUUGUUAGCUUGCAAUGAGAAUUUCUUUUCUCUUUCUGAUGUUGUCCUUGGACAAUACUCUUUGUCUGCAACUGUGACCAUGCGAGAAGAGGGGCUACAGUGGUCAAUCACAGUUGUGUAUGGGCCUCAACUAGAAGCUGAUAAAGUGGUUUUUCUCUCGGAGAUAGAGAGCCUGCAGCCCUCCAUGAAAUCUGAAUGGCUGAUCAUCGGAGAUUUUAAUCUCAUCUAUAGAGCAUCUGACAAAAACAGUGAUCGUCUAAAUAGACGAAUGAUGCAGCGCUUUCGGGGUCUGCUAGACAAAAUUCAGGUUAAGGAGCUUCAACUCCCUGUUCGUCGUUUUACUUGGGCAGGGGAAGGCGCAAACCCUACUCAAACCAAGAUCGACCGCUCUUUUGUCACGACUGACUGGGAUUUGAUGUUUGAGAGUUCCAAUUUGUAUCUUUUGUCUUCAGCAUGUUCAGAUCAUGCGCCUCUCUUUCUGGUAGGAAAUGAGCAAAGAUCGAAAUUCCCAAGCUUCAGAUUUGAAUCUUUUUGGCUCAAAAUUCCUGGGUUCUUGGAAGCGGUGCAAGACUCAUGGCAACGGCCGAUCCUUGCCACUAAUUGCCUAGCUAUUUUCCGCAUCAAACUACGAUGUCUCGCUCGAGAUUUAAAGAGAUGGAGUCGGAGUCAAGUGGGUGAUAUUAAGUUACAACUUGCGGUUGCAUCUAAAGUGGUCUUUCAGCUGGACAUAGCUCAGGAAACUAGGACUUUGUCAGAUGAUGAGCGCCUCCUGGUGUCUAACCUCAAAAAUAGGAUUCUGGCUUUAUCAGUUCUAAACAAAAUCCAGAUCAGACAACGCUCUAGGCAAACCUGGCUCAAAGAGGGAGAUGUUAAUUCAAAUUUUUUUCACAUCAAGGCCAAUUCCAGAAGAAGAAAAAACUAUAUUCAAUCCCUGCACACGCCAUCUGGGAUUGCAAUUUCAGCACAAGACAAAGAAGAGGAACUGCUGCGUUUCUUCAAGGAAAGAAUCGGAUCUCGUUUUCAAAGAACGUCAGGGAUUAACUGGAAUAUGAUGGAUUUGCCCUCCCUUGACCUUGGCGAUUUAGAAGAAGACAUCACAGAAGAAGAACUGAAGAAAACUGUUUUCUCAAUGCCACCCGAGAAGGCUCCGGGGCCGGAUGGGUUCAUUGGUGCAUUCUUCAAAUCAGCGUGGGAGAUCAUUAACGAAGAUCUGUUAUCGACAGUAAGAUCGUUUUUUGAUCUUAACACUUUGCAGAUAAAGGAUCUAAACUCAGCCUUCAUUUGUCUUCUUCCCAAAAAAGAAGAUGCUUUGGGAGCUGAACAUUAUCGACCGAUAAGCCUAAUCCAUAGUUUCUCUAAGAUAAUUUCCAAAAUUUUGGCAAACAGGCUAGCGCCAAGACUGUGCGAGCUUGUCUCCACCAACCAGAGUGCCUUCGUUCGGAAAAGGGCUAUCCACGAUAAUUUCGUCUUCGUCAAAAACAUGGUACAAUAUUUACAUAGAACGAAGAAAACGAGUCUGUUUAUCAAAAUUGAUAUUGCCAAAGCUUUUGACACGGUUUGUUGGCCCUACCUUCUUGAAGUUCUUCGUCAGUUUGGAUUUGGAAUCCGUUGGCUUAACUGGAUUUCCAAUUUACUUGCAACCUCUUCCUCCCAAAUGCUUCUCAAUGGAUCUUCGGGGCAAUCAAUAAACCAUGUCCGAGGCCUUAGACAAGGGGAUCCGCUCUCGCCGAUGUUGUUUAUCCUAGCAAUGGAACCUUUUCACCGAAUUAUUAAGGCGGUUGAAAAUGCAUCACUUCUCUUUCCGAUGGGUGGGAGUUUUGACAGAUUCAGGUGCUCCUUGUAUGUAGACGACGUGGCAGUUUUUGUGAAGCCUCAGGCUUCAGACUUAUCGGUGCUUAUGAGGCUCCUAACUUUCUUUGCGCAAACCUCUGGCCUUCACACAAACAUCAGUAAGACAGAGAUCUACCCGAUCAGAUGUGAAAACAUCAACCUCGUAUCUCUUCUUGCAAAUUUCCCUGGAAUGGUAAAGCAAUUCCCUUGUCGCUACCUUGGCCUGCCUCUCCAUAUCCGAAAGCUAAGGAAAAUUGACUUCCUGCCGCUAAUCGAAAAAAUUGGCUCGCGAAUUCCCGGCUGGAAAGGGAGGUUCUUUACUUCGGCCGGAACAAAAACUCAGGUCCAAUCGAUCCUAAGCUCUAUGCCAAUUCAUCACUUCACCGCAUUGCAAGUGCCCAAAUGGGUGAUAAAAAGAAUUGAUCGCUUUAGGAGAUCUUUUCUUUGUAAAGGAGAAGACCCUGACAAAACCAAUCCAGGCAGCAGUUUAGUCAAUUGGCAGACGGUGUGUAAGCCAAAAAUUUUGGGUGGAUUGGGCAUUUUGGAUUUAGAGAGGUUUUCGCGAGCCCUUCGUCUUCGUUGGCUUUGGCUUGGUUGGAAGGAUGAAAACAAACCAUGGGCUGGCAUGAGCGUUCCCUGUGAUGAUACAGAUAAAAGGUUGUUUCAGGCAGCAACGACAAUUGAGCUAGGUAAUGGCACAAAAACAAGCUUUUGGCAUGACAAUUGGCUACGAAACAACUGCCCAAAAGACAUUGCACCACUGUGUUUCAAGUUGGCAAAAAGAAAGCAAAAAAGCGUCCAACAAGAGCUCCAUAACAAUAACUGGUUGAUCUCUUUCAGGCAAAUAACAUCAGUAGAAGAAAUCCACGAACUUGUUCACCUUGGGAGCAUGCUUCAGGGAGUCCUGCUUAUCCCGCGUCCUGAUGACAUCUCUUGGAACUGGAAUGAAUCCAAAGUUUACACAAGUAAGAGUGCUUAUCUUUUCCAAUAUCAAGGAACUUUUGUUUCCUUAGAUUUCUCUUCGCUCUGGAAGGCGCCGGCUGAGCCGAAACUUCAAUUUUUUGGCUGGCUAGUCCUCCACCAGAAAACUCUUACAGCUCAAAACUUGUUGAGAAGACACUGGCCAUGCAAUUGGAUUUGUAGUUUAUGCACAAGCGCCUUUGAAGACACUAAUCAUUUGUUUAGUGAAUGCUCCUUCUUCAAGGAAGUUUGGUCUCUAGUUACUUCCUGGCAACAUUUACCUACAAACAAUGUUGGCCUCUCUAUCGGAACCUCUGAUUGGUGGGCCCAAAUUGAUUGUGUGCGAUCGAAGGAGCAAAAGAAGGCGAUGAGAGGAGCUCUGCUUACCACUUGGUGGAAUGUUUGGUUAGAAAGAAACAGGAGAAUUUUCAACAACAUUUCAACCUCAGAGAGAGCAGUGGCAUAUAUAGUAAAACAAGAUCUUGAUCUCCGUCGCACGGCUUUUAGGCCUCCAUAGUUUUCUUUUGUUUCGUGUCGUGUCGUGUUUUGUUGUUCUGUUUUCUUUUUAUUUUCGGGACUGAACUUGUUUUGUUCUGUUUUUCCUUCUAAUUAAAUUCCGGCAGAUCUCCUGCCGUCGUUCUCCUAAAAAAAAACCCUCCUUUCUCCUUUCUGCUGCAUAGAUGCUCCCAAGCAAUCCAAUGCAUUUUAUUCUCCCGUUCCUGUUGGGCCCAAAAGAAACGACAGAUGAGUGAAGUAAUUUCGUCGCAUAGCCCUUUGGUUAGGUUAAAACAUGACAUAGCAAAAGCCGGGAUUGCCUGCGCUACAGCUUUAAUAAGAACAUCCUUUCCCGCCCGUGACAGAAGUUUCUCCUUCCAACCCUGAAUUUUCUUCCAAACCCUCUCCUUCAGGUAGCUGGAAGUCUUUGCUUUUGAUCUGCCCAUAUACACCGGUAAGCCGAGAUAUUUUUCAUUCCAAGCCCCCACUCCUAUAUCCAACGCACCCAUGAAAAUCUGUUUAUUAACCUCCUUUAUAUUUCUGCUGAACAUAAUCGACGAUUUCUCCUUGUUUAUUGUUUCCCCCGAGCAUCUUUCGUACAAUGAUAAAACAUUCUGCAGACAAGCCGCACUCCCUUCAUCAGUUUUUAGGAGCAGCAAAGAAUCGUCCGCAAACAACAGGUGAUUGAUACUCGGUGCAUUCUGGCAAACUUUAAUUACCGAAAGAUCUCCUCUUUCUUCUGCUGCGUUCAGAAGAGUUGAAAAACCCUCAGCACAUAUGAAGAAGAGAUACGGUGAAAUGGGAUCUCCCUGACGUAAACCUCCUGUCGGAUUGAUCUGUUCAGUGAACUCCCCAUUCACCUUUAUACGGUAGGUCACCGAUGUGACACACUUCAUCACAAUAAAUACCCAAUUCCUGUCAAAACCCAGCUUCAACAUCAUCUUUUCCAAAAAUCCCCACUCCACCCUAUCAUAGGCUUUACUCAUACCCUGCUUUACUGCGGCAAAACCAACAGAUCCCCUUCUUUUUGUUUUCAGGAAGUGUGUUAACUCAUAGGCCAGCAAAAUAUUGUCCGUUAUCAUCCGCUGUGGUACAAAAGCAAUUUGGAUUGGGGAGAUAAUUUCUGAGAGCAGGGGUUUCAGACGAUUAGCUAGAACCUUUGAAGCGAUUUUAUAAACAACAUUGCACAAACUGAUUGGCCUGAGAUCUUUUAUGCGUUCUGGAUUGGGAACCUUUGGUAUCAGCACAACCACAGUAUCAUUCCAGCUAUCCGGCAUUUCCCCACCACCUAAGAAAUCUUUAACUUCAUGCACAAUAUCAUCCCCCACACAUUCCCAAAAUUGUUUAUAGAAGAGGGCAGGCAUACCGUCUGAACCAGGAGGAGCUUUCAGGUCCCCAAUACUGUCCAGAGCUUUCUUUAUUUCCUCCGUCGUCACCCCUUUCAUCAGUUCAUCAUUCAUAGUAGACGUUACUCUCUUUGGCACAUUCUGGAGAAGCUCAUCUAAGUUCAACGGCACCCCGGCAGUAAACAGUUGUUUAUAGAACUCCGAGAUCAGAGACAGAGAACCCGCCUCAUCUGUGAUCACCUCCCCAUCAUCCCUCCUUAACUUCUUAAUUUUAUUUCUUUUCUUUCUCUCAGAAGCACAUUCAUGAAAAAAUUUUGUAUUUCUAUCACCCUUUUCCAACCAAUGUUGGUUGGCUCUCUGCCGCCAAUAUAAUUCCCUCUGUUCCUCCAAUUUAUCCAGCCUGUAUUUCAACACCGCUUCCCGCGAAGCCGUACUGCUACUGAUUGGAGAACGUCUGUGGGCUUCUAGAGCCUGUUUAGCCUUCUUGAUGCGUUUCUCUAGGUCCCCCAGGAAAUUUUUGCUCCAAUCCCACAAAUUAGCAGCCACUUCCCUGAUAGCGUCCAUAACCUUGCCCCCUCUAGGGCCCACUGACAACUUCCAUGCAUUCUCAACUAUGGGAGCGCAGUGUUCCUCCCUCGCCCAUCCUGCCUCAAACCGGAACCCAGGUUUUGAUCUGCCGCCAUUCCAUAUAACUUCAUUAGAUGUUGUCACAAUGACUGGGUGAUGGUCAGAGUGCCUUGGAUCACCCUUCCUAACUCGGAAACUAGGAAAACGACAACACCAAUCAGAAUCGGCCACCGCCCUAUCCAGCCGUUCCCGAAUGUAACCAUCCCGAACACACCAAUUAUUCCUCCAGGUGAAAGGAUCACCCGUGAAUCCCAGGUUCGACAAGCUACAGCAAUCCAGCGUCUGACGGAAACGAUCCAUGCAACUCUGGGCCUUAGCGUGACCUCUUUCCUUCUCCCAACUGAAAAGGACUUCAUUGAAAUCACCCACACACAACCACAGCUCCCCUUUCGUUGCAUUUAGCGUCCGGAGAGCUUUCCACGUGAGAUCCUUUUUGUCUGACCUCGGUUCACCAUACACCCCCGUAAACCUCCACCAGAAACCAUCAUCUUCCAUCACAUCCACAUCCAUGAACAGUCGAGACACUGUUCGUAGCCGCAAAUUUAUUUCCUUUUUCCAAAAGACUGCCAAACCACCACUCUUCCCCUGGCAAUCCUUCACCACCAGAUUCGGCAUUCCCAAUUUCCACCGAAAACAUUGGAGUUUAUUCGUAUCCAUCUUUGUGUUAGACAAAAAUAGAAUAUCGGGGUCAUCCUCCUUCUGAAGAUUCAGAAGGCCACGAACCGUCGGGCCGUUCCCCAACCCCCGGCAGUUCCACGCUAUGAUCUUCAUUGGGUAUUUGUUAAUGCAAAAACACGAGGCCUGGGAGAUCUGCUUAACUCCUGUGCAGGUCCAAAGCUUGUCUUGAGGUUCGUGAGCAUGCCAAUUGAUUUGAUCCUGCAAUCAACAAGAAGGAUAGACAAAAGAAACCGCGGUUAAAUCCAUAAACGAUAGCCGAUCGGCUAAUUGCCGAUGACGUAUCAUUUAUCUUUGAGCCGAUGUCAUCUUUACAUCGAUCGGCUUAGCUAGGAGUGAAAUAAGAAUAAAGCUAAAUUUAUCUGAUCGGCUGUAGGUAUCAACGGUUUGUAAUCCUUAUGUCGAUAUAUAUUUAAAUCAAGUGAUUGGGAUAGAUCGGUCGCCGUGCCGAGACAGUAUAAAUCACUUAGAUCGAAAUAUAUAUUAACGAGAAGAUUGCAAAUGUUCAUAACAUAGCCGAUCAAAGAGAUCUAGCAUGUACCGGCUAAUACUCCGAUACCACUCUAUACUAGGAUAUCAAUGCAAGUGAAAUAUAUUAAACAAGAAGUCUAAUACAUCUAAAAGCAACCAAGAUCUUAAUAUAAAGGACAUAUCUAGCAUAUCAUUAAGCACGUAAAACAUAAAGCUAAAUCAGGUAAGAUCGGCUGAAACUCCGAUGCUACUCUAAUUGGCAUCCAAAGACAGGCUAGAGCUUGAGAUUCUAAUCAUGACUUAUAAGGUCAAACUCAACUGAUGCAGCUAUAAGUAUGAAAAGAAGAACAAUAUCUAGACAAUCAAGUCGUUGGAUGAUUCAUAGAGUGGUGGAUAUUCUAUAUAAUCUAUGUCAACGUUGAAACCUAACAUGAUCGGCUGUCUCCUAGCGACAGGUGUUAGCCGAUUGAAAGCUAGAUAACAAUAUUGCCAAAGAUUAUAUAUAAUAUAUGAUAACUCGACAACUUACAUAAAUCAGAUUAGAGUAUCAUAAUGAUGGAAGCACUAAUCCCGAUAACGCAAGCCGCCAUAACAAGUUUUACCUCUAGUUGAAGAUUGAAACCGAUGCAGCUCAACCCGAAAGCAAGAACUCGUCGAAAGUAAACGAAAGCAAAAGGUGGCGAUGCGCUGAGAUUGUAUUUGAACAUGUGUUAUCGAUUACAUAGGUCUCAGGGUCUAUUUAUACCUGAGAUUACAAAGCAUGUCCUUGUCGGACACGACUCUUAUCCCUAACAAACUCUAAAAUACCAUAAGUCUUUGCGGCAGACUUUUGCCUACACUUAUCUCUAAGGAAAUUACAUAAAAUAUCCUAAUUAAUAGAUACAAUUGCCUCAUCAGGACUCAAUCCGUGUGCGGCAAUUCAGAUGAAGUACUUUGAUUCAACCCGAUGACCCACACCGAGUCAUAUUGUCGUAAUCGGCUCAAUUGGCUAACCUCGUCCGACUCUGAUUUUGUCAAUCGAGGUUGCAGCUGAUUCGGACUUAGCCGAUUCUUGCUCUGUUUCCGAAACGAUCUUGGCCUUGGACUCCGCUUCGAUCCGAUCCUCAUCUCCGAUACUUAGAUUACCAAAUUUGGUUGUUAACAGUAAUGCAGGACUGGUCUGCCAGUCCCGCUAAAUUUGUAGGCAUCCUGUUCUUCUCAGAUUCCACCGUCACUUCCUUCACCUUCUUCGACUGAUCCACCUCCAUGCAUUGAACAUCAUCAAUCUUCCUCUUCUUCUCCUGUGUUUGGGUUAGGGACAUGACUCCCGAUUUCAGCUCAGAACACGACAUUCUCUUGAACUUCUUAACAGACUUGUCCCAAUUUUCUCCAAUAGUCACCUCCUUCCCCCCAUCCACGGACUUAACAGGAAGAUCAACAUGCACAUUCUGCUUAGUAGACAUUGGCAUGACCUGGGUCCUGCCACCCCCCCUUGCCCGACAAAACAACUCCCUUCCCACUAGCAUUAGCGUCCACGUGAUCACUCUGCAUAGCUUACAUGGUACUGUUUUACCCCACUGCUCCUAUACUAGCAUCUUCCUCUUCCCUCGCAAUUUUCCUCACCUCCUCAAUCACCGCCUCUCUAAAGAGAGCCUUCUUGGAAUUGUGUGUAAGAGCCUCGGACGCCUUGAGUUUUAACGGGCUCUGGACCUCCGCCUCCUCACCAGCCAUCUUCUCCUUCUCCUUCUCGCCUGCACUUCCUAUCGAGAGCUUCCGCCAUGAUGGGCCAUCGCUGCGAGAUUUCUCCCCACUUCCCCUACUACCAGAACUUCCACCCGGUCCUCGCCCAGCCGAAAAGUUACUCCUCCAUUGGCCACUACCCCGUGACUCAGAGAACUUGCCACCCGAUAAAGCAUCAUUUCUUCUCUUCUGAGGGAUGAUUCUAAGAUCUUUCCCGUAUGGUUGCUUCUCAUCCUUCCCCAACACAACAUCACAAAAUUUCUCUGUAUGCCAAAUUAUACCACAAAUGUAAUAAAAGUCAUGCAAGAAUUCAUAUUAUAUGGGACACCACCUCUCCUCCUCCUUCUUGCCCACUAGAACCGUAACACUUCUCAUCAAAGGUUUACGGAUAUCAAGCUGAAUCUUUACUCUCAAAAAUCUACUCGACAUUGGAUCACUAUCCUCCAGGUCCACCUCCAUGACUUCACCAAUUUCCCCUCCAAGCGCCUCCCCCACCAUCCUGUUCAUCAUCCCUCAGGGAGGUUUGUGAUCCGCACCUAGAUCGGGAUGAAAGAAAAGUCUAUCUCAUCCAAGGAUUUUGAACCAUCAAAAUCAGCCAUCACCAGUAGAUCUCUAGAAAGCAUCCAUGGACCCUCAUUCAAAGCCUUCUUCUUACCCAAAGCCUGGUGAAAGGUGAACAUAAAGUGAUUAUCACCCCAAUCUGUGCAUUCAAUACCCUUGAUUGGACACCAGAUCUUCCCUAGGGUUUGCACAAAAGCCUCCACAAGAGCCGGUUUCUUUGAGAGGAGUCUACCGACUGUGCGAUGAUCCAUCCCAUCCUUCAACUUGUCUUCCUCCACCUCCUUGAUCUUGACCCCCUUCUUCUCCGUUGCCGACAGCUUGAGUUUCUCCAUCAACCCUUCAACCUUCUCCAUCACAGCACCGAAAGCCAAGGAAACCGCAUAACCAAAACAUGCUAGCAGAUCUAGGGUUUUACCGGCUGCAAAACUGCAGUGAUAUGGUGGACACCAGAUGGCACGGGAUUGGUUGAGGCGACCUAGAAGAUGGGAAGGAAAAUGAGAGGGGAUUGGAGACCGAAAAUACGAGGAGAUUGGAUGGGUGACGAACCCUAGACGACCGACAUGAGACUAUCCUCGAGUCGCCUAGGAAACCCUAGAUGCCAAGACCUCAUAACUAUUACUAUUGAAGCAUAUCUUGAAGGUCUUGGUAGUCUUUUGGGUCUUUCCUCAAUGAAUAAAAUAUAAGGAUGUUGCUCAAGUCAAUCAUUAUUAUAAGAAGAAUCUAGUGGAAACUGUGUACAUCAUUGCCCAAAUUUAAACUAAAUACUCCCUUCGUUUCUAAAUAUUUGAUGCCGUUGACUUUUAGUACAUGUUUGACCGUUCGUCUUAUUCAAAAAACUUUUGUGAAAUAUGUAAAACUAUAUGUAUACAUGAAAAUAUAUUUAACAACAAAUCAAAUGAUAGGAAAAGAAUUAAUAAUUAUUUAAAUUUUUUGAAUAAGACGAACGGUUAUAUAUGUUUAAAAAAGUUAACUGCGUCAAAUAUUUAGAAACGGAGGAAGUAUCAUUAAUGAGGUCAAUUAGGAAAAUGAAAAUUAACCAACAUAGAUGGUAACAACCUAUGCCCCCAGGACCUGAGGUUGGGACCCCGUACGGGAAAUUGAUGAAUGCUAUUACCAAAUACAGUUGUCUAUAAUAUGUAACUAUUCUUUAUAACAUAUUUAUAAAUAUAAUACGAGAAUGCUCGGUGCCUGGCGUCCGAUGCCGCGUGCUUGCAUCGGACGCUCCUGCCGCGCAGGGCCCCCACGCCUAUGCUGCCCACGUGCGCCUGUGCUGCCCACGCCUCUGCGCUGCUCCCUCCACGUGUCCCCACCAUACACGCCGUUGCAACAAAUCACCCAUAUAUUUUGGAAACCCUCUAUUAAGGGAAUUUAGUUUAUUUUUUGUUCCACCAAAAAUGUUUCACCUAGUGUAGUCACAACGUUUCACUAUGUAUAGAUCUAAUGUUGCAGUGAACUAAAAUACUCCGUUGCAAUAAAAAACCCACAUAUUUUGGAAACCCCCUAUUAAGGGAAUUCGUUUUAUUUUUUGUUCCACCAAAAAAUGUUUCACCUAGUGUACUUAUAAUGUUUUACAAUGUAUGGAUCAAAUGUUGCAGUGAAUUGAAACAUUAUUUCACUAUUUGCUGAAACAUUGUUUUUAUAUAAGGUGAAACAACACCCGAUUUAAACGAGUGAAACAUUUUCGAUCUACUUAGUGAAACAAUUCCGAUAUACCUGGUGGAAUAUUGUGCAACACUUAAAAAUAAUUCAAUAAUAAGCUAAAAAAAAUUCGUCGGAAUAUAUCCAUGUGUGAUCUUGUUUUUUUUAAGUUGGCCAGCAGUGUUAACACUAUUAGUAUUAUUUUUCGAAGUGGCCAAUAGGGUUUGUAGUAUAAUUUUCCAUCUUUCCCUACAGUUUUUGCAAUUGCCUACAAUGUGAUCCCCACAUUACCCACAGUUUUUGUAGCUGGUGAAUUGUACCAUCACUGUUGGCCAUCUAUGCAAAGACACUGUUUGGGAAAACUACAAAGACUUGUAGUAGGGCAUGUUCAUCAUCACUAAUACAGUUAUCUUAUUAAUAGUGCAUGCUCAGCAAUAAAUAGGUCGUAACGCCUAACCACUCUGCAUUAGUGAUAAACAAUCCAGUUCAGCGCGCAACGCCUAACCACUCUCUGCACCGUGACUGAGCGUAUCUCCAACAGGCUCCUUAUCUCACUCUCCAAGUUAAAUUUUGAUAAUUUUAGAGUAAAAUCGCACUCCAACAAGCUAUCCAGCUGGCUAAACUCCUCGCUGGCCAAAUUUGGCCAGCCAACAUCAGUAGCUAAAUAUGGGCCCCACACAUCCCCACGAUUUUUUCCCAUCCUCUCUCCCCCAGAUCGAGACGGGAUGGGCAAGAGGAGGUGCAUGUGCGAGCGCUGUCACCGGCGGUGCCGCUCCUUCCCAGCACCCCCUCCACCGAUGCUGCUCCUCCGCGCCGCCUCACCUCCGUGGAUAGCACCACGCGUCAAGAUGGGCUGGGCGAGAGGAGGCGCAUGUGCGAGCGCCGUCACCGGCGGCCGGGCUGAGGCCGGCAACGCCGACCGCCCUCGCCGACGCCCUGAUCCGCCAGUUGCUGUUGCUGUCGCCGGCUGAGCUCGAUUCUGGUUGCUGUUGCUGCCGCCACCGGCUUCUCCCCCUCUCGUCGCCUGCCGUCGCCGCUGCCGGGCUUUUCCCUCCUCGUGGCCUGCUGUCGCCGGUGGUGCUUCCCUCCCACGUGGUCUGCUGCCGCUUCUCUCCUCUCGCCACUGUUGUUGUCGUCAGUGGGUUGGGAGAAAAGUGAAGGGGAGGAAGAGUGAGAGAGUGACAUAUGGGUCCUAGUGUCAUAGACCCAUAAUAGAGAGGGUGGAUGGAGAGGCUGUUGGAGUAAGCAACGGGUUUAACUUACUAAAUCAAUUGAAGAGGUGGCUAUAUAUAGAUGUUUAGAGAGUGUGAUUUGGGUGGUGUGUUGGAGAUGCUUUGACCCUCUAUAAAAUUAAGUUGAUACCGGAGCAUAUAUACGCACCUUAGCUAUUAGACCACCACCUUCUUCCGGACUCGUACAUGUGGAGGCUGAAGGUGUCGGAGGGCGGCAGCCCAUGGCUGCGGUCGGUAAACAAUCUCCUCGGCCGGCAAGUGUGGGAGUUCGACCCUGACCUCGGCACGCCAGAGGAGCGCGCCGAUGUGGAGAAGGCGCGCCGCGAGUUCGCCGAGCACCGCUUCGAGCGCAAGCAUUCUAGCGACCUCCUCAUGCGGAUGCAGGUUCGUCCAUGUCCACGACACAUCCAUCGAGCACAUCUUCUCGGUCCUGUGGUCCUUGGCGCAACCCGUUGUACAAAAUAUUUUUCAUUUCCAGCACGGGAAGACGGCUAGCUACUUUGGGCUGAGUCAGAGCUGUGCGCUAAACUGAACCUAAUUCACACUAAACUACUUCCUCCGUUUCACGAUGUAAGUCAUUCUAGUAUUUCCCACAUUUAUAUUAAUGCUAAUGAAUAUAGACAUAUGUUUAUAUCUAUCUAGAUUUAUUAGCAUCAAUAUAAAUGUGAGAAAUGUUAAAAUGACUUACAUUGUAAAACAGAGGAAGUACUUAACUUCUCUUGUAAAAUUGGCACUGAAAAAAAAAACAUACACUGUUCUGUGCUCAUGACCACACUGACUCUCUUACCUUCUGCUCUCUAUUUUGCAGUUCGCUAAAGAAAACUGUCAAAAGCUGGACCUUCUCGCUGUCAAGCGUGGAGAGCACGAAGACGUCAUGGGGGAAGCUGUGUGGAGCUCUUUGAAACGGGCCAUAAGCCGCGUUUGUAAUUUGCAGGCACAUGAUGGACACUGGCCCGGGGAUUAUGCAGGACUUAUGUUCUUUUUGCCUGGCUUGGUACCUGCUCCAUCUUGUUUUAUCUAUCUAUUAUAUUAUUAAAACAGCUUUAAAAAGAGACAUCAUAUUCGCUGUGGAACCUAGAAAUUACUACAUUAAUCAAAGAAAAAGAAAAAAUAUUAACCACGUUAGAUCAUGGUAGAUCCAUAUUUUAAUGGUCUUAGAUUGAUACAGCAGGAAAAGCAAUGGAUAUAGACUCCCGCAUAUAGAGUCAUACAAGGAUAGAGUCUGACCAUAUCGACUAAAUCGAGCCCUCAUAGUAGAAGUCAUACACGUAAAAAAAAAGGCAUCUGCAUCUCCCGCGUAUGCAAAUAUAUUCUGAGUUUUCUUCGUCCUUAUCACUUUAUGUUCUUCCCUCAAACAUAUAUCUCUAUUGGUUUGAUGCAUUAUCUUAAAAAAUAUUCUAUUUGUGUCUACGUUUGCACAAAAAUAAUGUUAGGUCUUUAAAUGAUUUUCUAAAAAAAAAUAUUAGUUUCAUAUGUUCUUCCUGUCAGCGAAGGAAAAAAAAAGAUAAAAUUUAAGUAGGAAUACAAUGUAUAAAUAACCAAUUUUUUUUAAAAAAAGGUAAAAUUGAAAUAGCAUACAUCUAGAAAACAACACGAGAUUAAUUAAAAUUUAGAAUAGAAAAUAAAAUAAAUUCUAAACUGGAUUUUCAGUACAAAAUUCAAAUAAACUUUAAAAAACAAUAAAAUUCAAAACAAAAUAUAAUAAAAUAAUUAUAUAAGUAAAGACUACAUAGCAAGAAUAAUGAGUUUAAGUAGGAUUAUAAUUUAGAUCGUGGUCGGUCUAGAUUUUAACGGUUGAGCUUCAAUAAGAGUCCACAAAAAGUUCUGGAAAAUUACAGUCGUCUAUCUAAAGUGCAUUAGAAACAGAUACAUCGGUACAUUGCAACGACAGACUACGACUCGGAUAUGUACAAAAAAUUCAAACAAAUUAAGUAGAAAAAUUGGAAUAAUAAAUCAAAUAAAUUCCAAAUUUGGAUUUCAACACAAAUUCUAAAUAAACUUUAAAAUCAUUAAAGGAUCAAAAUAAAAACUCACUUUGGAUGGUAGAUAGUCCCACAUUAACCUGAGUAAAAAUAAAGAAGAGUUCAAGUAGAAAUAUAAUUUAAAAAUAUACUAUGUUUGUUUUAGAUAUUAGAAAUUCUCACAUUAAUUGAAGGCAAAGAGAAAAUAUCCUUAGAAAUAAUUGAAUACAAAACAAAAUUAUAUCCUUAGAAAUAAUAGAAAGGGUUGUAAAAAGAGGAAUUAAGAAAAGGUUGCAUAACUGGUGGGCAUCCUAAUACGAUUCGGACUAUUAUGAGGACUUUAGCCUAAUGGAAUUUUUUUUCUUUAAAAAAAAAAGACUCGAGACCUGCUAGAAAAAAUGAGGGCUUUCCGAUAGGGGGAAAAUGCAGAGGCGUUGUUCGAUCAGGCUGAACUGCUUAAGGCUCAUGUACAGGCAUUCAGCCCUACAUUGCAGCCAUACAUCGAUUGUCUCAUUAAAAUUUGAAAUAAAAAAUACAUUGUAAAAUUGGAUUUCAAUACGAGUUUCAAAUAAACUUAAAGAAUCAUUAAAUUCUGAAAUGAAAAUACAGUAUCAAAAACUACCAGAGGACGAUGACAGGAGGAAAACGAGUAAGAUAGAGGAUACGGUGCUGACCAUAUAUGUGGGACUUCUAUUGUAAUCACAGCGAUAAUAAGUUUAAUGAAAAUAUAAUAUCAAGAACUACCAGAGGGUGAUGAUAGGUGGAAAGCGAGUAAGAUAGGGGUUACGGUGCCGACCACAUAUGUGGGACUUCUAUCGUAAUCACAGCGACAAUAAGUUUCAAUUUUGAAUGGCACUAAAUGAUAAAGAAAAAUAAAGAUGGCAUGGCUUGACGAGUGGAUAGACGAAAAAGGGGUAGGGAGGCAGUGGUUUCCAUGGGAGAGCAAACCGAGAAGCAACAAAUGAGUAAAGCAAUGGUGGCGGUGUCUAAAAACUAUAAAAGGAAACCCGGACAAUGCUAAGGUUCAAUUUUAUAAGUGCCGAUGACAAUAAAGAUGAAAACAGCAGCACUGGUAGAUAAGUGGAUGGGUGACAAAGGAGCAGGGAAACGACGAUUUGCCAUCAAAGAGUGAGCUGAGGGAUGGCAAAUGACAAUAAAUAGGGGGAGCAACAAAUGAACUGUAAAGGAGUACAUCUAAAUAUUGUAAAAAAAACCUCAAUUACAACUAGAUUCAAUUUUAAGAAUCCCAAUGUUGAUAAAGAGUAAGUGUAGCAGAUAGGUCAUAAAGGUGUAGGUUUAUGGCGGUUGACUGGACUACUAGAAAGUAAAAGAGUAAACGCACAAUAAUCAGGUUUUAUUUUCAAAUUUCCAAUAAGAAUAAAGAGGGGAGGGGGCAAUAAGCGGACAUUAAAGGAGUAGGGUGACGAUAUUUGACUGGACUUCUAAAAUUUCUAAAAACAUAGCCUGAUAAGACAAUAAACUCUGAAACCUAUAAGAUCCAAUUAUUUUAAAAGUGGAUGAACAUAGAAGUCAUGGAGGGCCGGAUAAACAAUUAAGCGGCCAGUUAAGGAGUAAGGGGUGGUGGUUGAUGUGACUCAAAAAUAUAAAAUUAAAAACUCGAUGAUCAAGAGGUUCAACUUUUAUAAAGUCCUAAGAGAAUGAUAUUAUUAUUUAAUAGUUCUUAUAGAAAAUUAUGUGUAAAAGGAUUGGAAAAUUUUAUCUGGGUGCUAGCCGCGUAAUUGUGUGGGUUAUUGUAUUCCAUGACACACCGUGCUAUUUUGAUAAUUACCCACGUCACGACCUGGGUGCAUUUAAUUUUGUAUAGGCAGAAUGCACCCACCCUCUAGGGUGUUUGGUUCGUAGGGACUAAAAUUUAGUCCCUUUCGCAUCGGAUAUUUAGACGCUAAUUUGGAGUAUUAAACAUAGACUAAGUACAAAACUUAUUCUGUAACAUUGGACUAAUUCGCGAGAUGAAUCUAUUGAGCUUAAUUAAUCCAUGAUUAGCCUAUGUGAUGCUACAGUAAAUAUUUGCUAAUUAUGGAUUAAUUAGGCUUAAAAAAAUUCAUCUCGUGGAUUAGCUCUCAUUUGUGAAAUUAGUUUUUUAUUAGUCUAUGUUUAAUAUUCUAAAUUAUUAUAUAAACAUCCGAUAUAAUAGUAACUAACAAAAUUUUAGCGCCAUCUAAAAAUUGCAGUUUUGUUGUAACUGCUCGAUCCAAAUUGCAACUCGAACCGUUGCAACCGGCUCCAUCCGAGUUGGAACCAGCUCGGUCCGAGUUGCAACUGGUUUGGUCCAAUUGCAAUCGUUGCGUCAAGCUGCAAUUGGCCUAGUCUCUCGGUUGCAACUGCAGCGUACGUGCAUUCUGAAUAGAGAAUGCAACUGGGUGCAUUUUAACCUCAUAUGUUAUUGAUUUUUCAGUUCUUGCUAGGUAAGAAAGCUGCUCAUCAUUAUGUUUUGACUCGCAUGUGCUCAGAUUAUAACAUUGCAUGUCAGUGGAGUUCUGAACACUGUUUUAUCAUCGGAACAUCAGAAGGAGAUGCGCCGGUACAUCUAUAAUCACCAGGCAAGGUUACUUUAAUUAAUUUGUUGAUAAACUUUACAAAUUCUAUGCUGCGAGAAAGCAAAUUCAUUACUUUUCGUGAAUAUAUGUUGGAAAUUGAACUUACCACAGCAUCAAUGUGAACAGAUCUCGUUUGUGCCACAUGCUAAUGCAACCACAUUAAACAAAUUAAUGUGACUAGCUAGAACAUCUCCACCUAAGGUUGUUCUCAGCUGCCCCUCUUUCCAACACCUCUCUCGUUUUUCACGCGUACGCUUUUUAAACUGCUAAACGAUGUGUUUUUUUGCAAAAAAGUUUCCAUACGAAAGUUGCUUAAGAAUGGAAUUAAUCCAUUUUUUAAAAAAAUAGUAAAUACUUAAUUAAUCACCCACUAAUCGCUGCUCCGUUUUUACAAGAUUCAAACAUGCAUGCAUAAGUCUAGAUUAUUCCUAACAAUAUAUAUAAUUGCAGAAUGAAGAUGGAGGGUGGGGGUUGCACAUUGAGGGCCACAGCACCAUGCUUGGCUCAUCCCUGAACUAUGUUGCUUUGAGAUUGCUUGGGGAGGGUCCAAAUGGUGGAGAUGGAUGCAUAGAGAAUGGUCGAAACUGGAUUUUAGAUCAUGGAGGAGCCACAUUUACGACAUCAUGGGGGAAGUUCUGGCUCUCGGUAUGGGAUUAAUACACUUCUUUGUUUAUGGCAUUUAUGCCAUUUCAAACUUUUUCAAAUUGGUUUUAUAGAGAAGCUUCCGUAGUUUCAUUUCACUUAUUAUCUCAGGUACUUGGAGUAUUUGAUUGGUCCGGUAAUAACCCAGUGCCACCAGAGUUAUUACUAUUGCCGUAUCAACUGCCGUUUCACCCAGGUAGUACUGCUUGCUUUCUUGAGGCAUCAUAUUCAUGCACGUGUUGUAUAGGGAAUGUGUUUGGGGUUAGCCCCAAAAAAUCUUAGUCGCAACUUAAAUUUAGGAAAACCUGGGGUGUUUGGAUUGUAGCUAUGCCAACACUAUCAGUAUAUACCAUAUAUAUGGGCCUUAUGUCAGCUCUAUGGACAGCCACCAUGUACGAGUAGUCUAAUUCGCGACUAGUCGCGCUAGCUCUCCCGCGCGACUGACGGCGUGUCGCACGCAGAGAGGAGGCGGCGAAUGCGCGUACGGUUUUGUUUUUUUUUUUCUGUUUUUUCUCUUCCGUAUCCUCUCCAGUUUUCUUUUUUUCUUUUUUUUCUUUUCCGUAUAUUUUUCCGUUUUCUCGGUUUUGUAAUACGUAUGUAUGUAAACUUUGUAUACACGUAUUUUUUGGUUUUUUAUACGUAAGCCCACAAACUUUAUAUACAUAUGUAUAUUUUUAUACAUUAAAAGUGUAUACAUAUGUACGUAUACAAAGUUUGUGUACGAGUAUACAAACUUUGUAUAUGUGUACAAACUUUAUAUACGUGAUGUAUUUUUUUAUUUUUAAUAUGUACAUAUAUAAAGUUUGUACGUCGUAUAUAAACUUUGUAUACAUAUGCAACAUAUACAAAGUUUAUAUACAUGUAUAUAUUUUUUAUAGUAGUAGUACUAGUAGGACUAUAGUAUAGUAGCAGUAAUACUGGUAGUAGUACCGUUGUAGUAGCACUGCAUGAGAAGGUAGUACGGUAUUUAGGGGUGGCCGCGCGCCUAACACCACCCCCCCCUAAAAAAACCAUGUACACCCUCUCUCCAUAGUACACGCGCGCGCAAACACAUAUCCGUAUGGCACCUCUAAACACUGUACGUUGUGCACAUGUCAUCUGAAUUUCACAAUGCGUAUCACCACUAUAGCUCAUGUACAGAUCAACACAUAAGAGAGGAAAUUAAUCUUAUUAGCUACGACUAGAGAUCAAUGAAUGAGCCUCCAUCUAGGGUGAAAAUUAAAUUAUCUUAAUACGGCAGAUUAUUCAACUGCAAUACACCGAAUUGAUAAAUGCUGAAGUUUCUAUGUUGUUGGCCAUUCAUUGAUAAUAUGAUGUAUUACUGAUUCAUAACAUAAUGCAGGUCGAAUGUCGAGCUAUAUCCGAAUGGUGUUUAUACCCAUGUCUUACAUUUAUGGAAAAAGGUUUGUUGGCCCAGUAACACCAGUUGUGCUAGAGCUAAGAAGUGAACUAUACAAUGACCCCUAUGAUGAGAUUGACUGGAACAAAGCUCGUACUCAGUGUGCAAAGGUUGGUACAGAAAAUUGUGUAGAAUAAAGCUCGUAGUCAAUGUACUGUACUAUUUUUAUUAAUGUACUGUACCACUAGAAAACUGUUGUUUGGAAAAUAUAUUAACAAACUAUUUGCUAAUUACAUAUACUACCUCGGUUCUUAAAUAUAAGACGCCAUUGAUUUUUUUCAUUCAUUUGAGUUUUCAUCUUUCCGGCAAAUAUUUAUUGAAAUAGACAAAUAUAUUUGUAAACCAUAAAAUAGUUCUGAUGUUAGAUCUAAUGUUACCCAUUUCACUUUACACUAAUUGAUUAAAUAAAUAUUGUGAGUCAUUUGAGUAAGAAGUUAAUGGUAUUAUACAUUUAAGAGCGGAGGUAGUACUUGACAUUAAUGUAUUGUACCAUUAAAAUAUUGUUGAAUCACGACAAACUAUUGGCUAAUUACACAUACUUUAAAACAAAUAUAGCUCUAUAAUUAGCGUCUUGAUCGUCUCACCAGAAUAUACAAAGCAACUUCAUAGUUGCAUAUAUACUAUCUCCUUUGUAAAAGUGUAAAGUUUAGGAUAAGGUUUUUAGCUCUUUUAAAACUAAUUAGCUUGUCGUAAAUCUCAUGUAUUAAAGAUUGAAGGUAGUAGAGGAAUAAUUACACAGAAAAUUAUCUACAAGUUGUAUAUGUAUUGGACUUGCACUACAAGAAACCAGAAUAUCCUUAGCGGCCAAAAACAGUUUGUUUCGGUUAUUUUUAUAUGACUUUGUUUCAACAGUUUGAAUUUAAAUUUCAAAUGAUGACAACUUCAAACAACGUUUUCAAAUAGUAAAUGAUUUCAACUGAAAAAAUCAUCAACAACAAAGUGGCAUAACUCAUCAAGAUCUAUAACUUCUAUUUUGGUCAUUUCUUCAUCCGACAAAGUGAUUUGUAACAUUGUUCACAAAAUGUACAUAUCUCCUAUAUAGUUUUAUAAACUAUAAGAGAGAUAUACAAAUUUUGGGAAAAAUGUUACUAUCAUUUUGUCGGAUGAAGAAAUGACUAAAAUAUAAGUUAUAUAUCUUGAUGAGAUAACUUUUUUAGUUGAAAUCAUUUACUGCUUUAAAAUAUUAUUUAACUCCCAUGAGUUAAAAUUUUACGAGUUAAAAUUUUACUGGGAGUUAAAUUUUAACUCAUGAGUGAAUCUGCUGUUGGAUGGGGAGGGAAUGGACGGUUGAGAUUGAGAUCGCGGGAGAAGGUGUGGAUCGAUGAUGUGGCGUGAGGCGCAAAUCGGUGAUUUGGCACUUGGCGGGAAUUUUUGACCUGCAGGUGCACGUAAAAAUAUGAAAUUAUCUUGGCGGCUAUUUCCAACCGCCAAGGAAAUAUGUACUAAGCAAACUAUAUAUUUCCUUGGCGGUUGGAAAUAGCCACCAAUGUUUUGCUUAGCGGCUAAUUUGAACCGCCAAAUUAAAAUAUAAUCUUGGUGGCUGAUUUUAGACCGCCAAGAAAAUUGCAUGGCCACCAAGCCACCAAGGAUAUUCUGUUUUCUUGUAGUAAUUGUAUGUUGUCGAUGCACAGUUUGGUAGAAUAAGAUCAUUGGUCUUCCUAAGAAUAGGUGAAAAAGUAUCAACUAUCUGUAAAAUGGAAUUGAAAUAAUUUAUUUAUAAAAUAAUACCAUGGAAUAAAUAUUCUUAUGGAAGGAUCAUUCUGUGAAUGAUAUAAUUCACAUCAAUCAGAUGAAAAUUUAUAAAAAUGCAUUUUCUAUGAAUACAUACACUACUAUACAGAGCUAAUUAUAUAGCAGAUCACUGACACCUUAUUUUAUCAAAUGAAUAUUGAUGAGCCAGCAUUCAUGAACUGGAAGUGAUUAGCCAUGAUCUAUUGAUGACAGUUCUUGGUAGACUGUUGGUGAUAAAGACAAUGUCACUGAUGGUUCUUACUUGAUAGUGUCAUUCUAACUCCGCAAAAAAAAAAGUCAUACGAGGAUUUUGUAGGAGAUAUUAACAAAGAAGUGAAGUGAUCUUCCUUUGCCCCUAUUUACUAACGAAAGGGCAUGUAGCCUGACCUGAGUAGUACCGGUCCUGAAUUCAAAUAUCCUAUGGAGCGAAUUUCAGAUUGAGUUGUUUGCGGGGCUAAGUUCCCUAUUUCAAUGACCGUAUAUAUCCGGUUGGAUGUAUAGGCCUGGUAAAAAAUACCCUUCUCUAAAAAAAAAGUCACGUUACUAAUUGUUGAAAAACAUAUAGGGUGUGUUUCGCCAUGAGCACUCAAUGGAAACAAUGAAUAUAUAAGACAUCAAUAAUUAUUGAACAUUUUUUCCCUGAAAUUGUAGGUUGCUUGCAAUCAAGAGAUUUAAAGUUUGACUAUAAAUAUUAUUUUUAAUAUUUCAAAUAUACCUUUGAAAAUAGCAUAACUAGAUUUUUUCUUGAAAAUGAAUUUAGCAACUGUCCUACUAUAUCACUAAUUUAUAGUCUAUGUAGUAUGUUGGGUUCCUUGUCUAGUAAAAAUGGCACUCUGUUUUAAACAGAUAGUAGUUACAAUGUUGCUGUGAAUUUUGGCUAAAUUAACAACGAAAUGUAGCACAAGUCAAUGCAGUAGGGUUUGUCUGAAAUUCCCUUGCAGCCUGACUGCAUAUGAAAACACCUUACACUAAUGUAAUAGGAUUAACCAGGAAGUCCCAUUUUUUAGAGUGCAUAGGAUGUAAUAAGUUAGCCUCGACCUAUCUAAACUUUCAGUGUGAUCCAAAAUCAGACAACAAAAAUUAACAAAUUAAAAUGGGCCUUGCCCAUGGUCACCUCAAUAAAUGUUAACAGUCAAACUAUUACAAGUGUUGGCGUCACUCUACAGUAAAUAGUCUACACAAAUAAUAGUCCUUAUUCCUUUUCAUCAAGAACACACGAUAUUCAGUGAUCAAUAUGACUAUUUACAGAUUUUAACUGGCAAUAUAGUUAAGUGCAUCUUUCAUACGAAUGUCUCCUGAAGUAUAUUUUCCAUAUCAGAUAGUAAUUGAGCACAAAGCAGUUGAGUGACAUGAGAAUUAAUUAUACUCCCUUGGUUCCAGAAUAUAAGUAUUUUUAGUAUAGUGACAAGUCAAAUAUUUUUAACUUUGGCUAUUAAUAAAAAAAUAAAGAAUAUCAAUCAUGUAAAAUUGAUAGUCAUGUAACUUUGACUAUGAUAAUAUGCAACUCUUUUUAUUUAAAACAUUUUAUUUCUAUAGAUAUUGUUAGUCAAAAUAGCAUCUCGAAGAACGUGUCAGAGUCAAAAAUACUUAUAUUUUGGGAUGGAGGGAGCAGUGAAAACUAAGAAAGUAUAUAUAUAAGAGAUGUCGUAUUAUAGAUGUCAUAUCAUCUUGUUCUGUGACCAGGACUUUUCUACUGUCUAAAUGAUCAUUUAUAUGCUCACAUCUCAGGAAGAUAUGUACUAUCCACGUUCAUCCAAACUGGAUAUGUUUUGGUCCUUUCUCCACAAGUUUAUUGAACCAGUUUUGUUGCGCUGGCCUGGGAGAAAACUGAGGGAGAAAGCUCUGGCCACUUCCAUGAGGAAUGUUCACUAUGAAGAUGAGUGCACUCGAUACAUCUGUUUCGGUGGUGUACCCAAGGUAAACUGACUAUGAUUGUUUGUUAUUUUUUACAUAAUAGAGGUGCUGUCUUCUUGCUUAGAACUUUCUUGAUGCUAAUUGACGCAGCUACUUUUUUAGUGACCUUGCCAAAAAAAAAUACAUGAGUGGGUAGUAACACUCCAUUUAUUUUAGGAACAAGAAGUCCAUCUUUAGUCUUUUAUAAUAUGACAGUGCAUAUACACAUAGCGUCCCUAUCCAUUUUCAUGGGGCAUAAACAAGAAAGUACUCCAUCCGUUCCAAAUAACUAUUUUAUUUUGUCUUUUCUAAAUUAAUUAAUAGUAAUUUGGAAGGGAGGGAGUACUAUGGUUGAUGACUAUAUAUAUAUGACUUAUGUGGACUGCACGUAGCGCGGGUGGCAGGAGCCAGUGGCUCGCUCGGUGCUAACCAGCGUUCAAGUCUCAAGACUUGACACUCGUCCCUCGCCCGUGGGGAAUUUUCCCCUCUUUCCCCGGGACUGUCUUUGGAAGGUCCCGGGUAGGUAAUAAGAUAUACACACGCGUACACGUUCAGUGGGACUGCACGUUUUCAACGUGCACUGAGACCUAGUGCCUACAAUCUCUUUCCUAGCGUGUGUUAGGGACGUGCACGCUUGUGUGUGCGUGUGUCGUGGUGUGAGUGUGGUGUGUGUAAAGUGUGUGUCCUAAGUUGUACCCUUCUUAAAAAAAGAUAUAUAUGGCUUAUAGGAACAAUCUAAUCUCACGGAAGAUUGUUUUGCGGUCUGAGUUGGAAAGUGUUCUACUAUUAGCAACGACCACUAGAAUAUGUUCGGUCAUCUGUAACGGGUCUAAAGCCUCAUCUCUAUCGGAUAGCGCCUCCGUCACUAAGCAAAGGUCACUGAUGUGAGAAAAUAUCUCAAUUAGGCAUCCGGCCAUCACGGAUGACACACAUCUCAAUCGGGCCAACACUAUAGCCCAUCACAGAUGACUCUCAUCUCUAACGGACCUAAACUAUAGCCUGUCACGGAUGACUCCUAUCUCAAUCGGGCCUAAACUAUAGCCCGUCACGGAUAACUCUCAUAUCAAUUGGGUCUAAAUUAUAGCCCGUCACGGAUGAGUAUAAUAAAAAAUAAAUAAAUUAUGUUUUUUUGGCUAGCCUCAGCACACAUAACCGGGAAGAAUUUCUCGGUCGGUCACCCAUCUCAAAAUUGCUCUAACAUAAACACGCUUGACCUUAGAGUUCUUUAGGAUCACCUUCCGGAGAAGAAGUUGUACGUUGAUUCACACACACAACCAUCAAUAUAUUUAAUACAAUCACAUUCACAUAACAUCCAUUUUGAUCACAUAUUUCACAUCCAUUCACAUAUUUCACCAGCAAAACCGAGUUAAUUUGAUCAAAUAUAUAUUUAGCAAGUAUGAGGAGGAAAAUCAGACUUCUAGGCAAAAAUAAAUUUCGAAUUGAAUUUUAUAAUACUAAAUGAACUCAUAUGAAAAAAUCGUCAAAAACAAAGUUGUAGAACUCAUUGAGAUCUACCAAUUUUGUUUUGGUCAUUUCUCCAUCCGGGUUUGAUUGAACUAUAUAAAAUUUGAAUUUUAAAAUAUAAGAAAUUUAAAUAAUUUUUCGAGCAGUAAAUGAUUUCAAAUGGAAAAAUUGUCAACAACAAAGUUGUAUAACUCAUCAAGAUCUAUAACUUUUAUUUUGGUUAUUUUCUAUAUAACAUUUUUUGAACAGUUUGAAUUUGAAUUUGAAAAUAUGAUAACUUCAAAUAAUAUUUUCAAAUACCAAAUGAUUUCAAAUAGUAAAGUCAUCAACAACAAAGUUGUAUAACUUAUCAAGAUUUACAACUUUUAUUUUGGUCAUUUCUCUAUAUAACAUUUAUUGAACAAUUUGAAUUUGAAUUUGAAAAUAUGACAACUUCAAACAACAAUUUCAAAUACUAAAUGAUUUCAACUAAAAAAGUCAUCAACAACAAAGUUGUAUAACUCAUCAAUUUCAAGCCUGUCACGGAUGACACAUAUCAGUGACGGACCGUAGUUUAGGCCAGAUUGAGAUAACAUUGCAUAUCUCAAUCGGGCGCUUUUUUGGCCCGAUUGAGAUUCUUGUGACAGUCACUAAUUCCAAGCAUAUUAGAGGCCGUCAUAGAUGGAAGAUUCUGUACUAGUGGACAUUACUAUGUGGAAGACAAAUUGUGAUCAUCAAAAUGCUUGGUAGAAUAGCUUAAUUAGUGAGAAAAUAUUGUAACGGCAUCUUGUUAUUUAUUUCAGCAUAUACAUUAGGAAAAAGUAGUAUCCAUAAACCACCACUACUAUUUGUAGGAGCGCCCCCAUCUUUUUGCAAGGGCGGACAAAAAGAUCUGUCACCCCUGUAAAUAUAUUUACCAAGGGUGGACGUGGGAGGCAAGCCACCCCUAAAAAGCAACUCCAUUUCCAAGGGCGGAACACGUACACAUAGGGGCCGAGUCUAGUUCCAAAUUUUUUCUUCAAACUUUCAACUUUUCUAUCACCUUAAAACUUUUAACUUUUCCAUCACAUCGUUCCAAUUUCGACAAAACUUCCAAUUUUAACGUAAACUAAACACACCAGGAGAUACAGCUUCCAAUCCAAGUAAUUAACAAGCAAUGAAAGGUGAACCGCUUUAACUUCGAUCCGGUGCUGGAAUUCACACAGCACACGCUCCGAGAAACCGAUCAAUUAAUUUUCUCUUGAUGAAUGGGUUCAAAUUCUUAUCCCAAUUGGGGUGUGUUUAGAGCAACUACAAUAGCAGACUAUUAGCCAGCUGUAAACAUAUUUUAAUGAGAUAAGGGAUGAGAGAGAAGAGCAGCGGGCUACAGAUCUGUAGCCAGCUGCAGCGCGGGCUCCAAGACAUAAUGUGUGUAUGACACGUGAGACCAUAUAUUAAUAGUAUAGUAAGCAACUAUUGUAUAAAUUGGUUAUUAGAUUAGCUAUAGAUGAAUUGGAGCUAGUAGUGGGCUAUACUAUAUUGAACUUGUUCUUAGUUCCAAAGUUUUUUUUCAAACUUCCAACUUUUCCCAUCACAUCAACCUGUCAUACACACACAAACUUUCAAUCACAUCGUUCCAAUUUUCAACCAAACUUCCAACUUCGGCGUGAACUAAACACAGCCUUGGUUAAAAUUAAUACCGCUCCGUUAAAAAACUAUUCUAACCAGUUAAUAUUCAAGCUGGCUAGCAUAUAGGAUAUAUGUGCCGGUAGGGAAUAGCACCGGUUGUCGUUGGUACAACAACAACGAUGUAUGUUUAGUUCAUUAUUCGUACAACAACGGUGGUACGUUUAGUUCAUUAUUCGUAUCGGUUGUCGUUAGCACCGGUGUGAAUGUACUAAACACAACCGUGUACUUUGGACCAAUACGUAUGAGCCGAUACGAAUGACGGUCUCUGCACUAGUGAUAUUUUAACACCAAGAUAAACAGAUGCGUAUGUACAGCGCAUCUGUUCAAGCUCUCAUUAUCUCUUCACCCAAACCGAAGAACCCGUGCUUUGACCAACAAGGAUAAUGUUUUAAUACAUGCAGUGCAGUCAAGAAAAGACAGAUGUGAGGUUCCAAUACCCAUCUUAUAAAGGGGCAAAGUGCCUCUGAACGAACUAUCCAAGAUUGACCCUUUUGGACAAUAUGGUUGUUAUCAGGGUCAUUGUAUGCUGUUGUUCAUAACAUCGCUCAUUCCAAGGAUUUUAUAAAUGAAUGUCAUGCCUAUUAUACAGUACCAUAUUUAGAAUAUAUGGUUCUAUAGUUCAGUGGCAUUAGAGAGAAACCAGGAAGGCCAUGGAAGUACUGACGUGGAGUAGUGGACAUAUACUGAUAUAGGCUUUAACACCAUAUGCUACAGCUAGCUUCAUUACCUUGAGGUCGUGUCCUUCACACAACGGAUAGUAUGAACAAACAUGUUGAAUAAUUUUGCUAACUUCAAAUCAGAGAGAUCCACUAUCUGUCUAUCCAUCUCUAUUCUAAUCACAACCUCUCAAGAAAUUCCAAGGUUAGUUUGAGAAAAUAAUUGACUGUUAAUCCAAUGUGGGGCCAAGUAAUAAUUAAUGGUGAGUGUUGGAAAUUUUUUGUAACAAGUUGACAAGCAUGAUCGUAGCACCUAAACGCCUUGCGAUGAUAUGGUGUUGCCAACCACCCUAAUCUAGCAAUUGCUAAAUCAAGAUGGGUUUCGAUAGAUUAAACCGGCUAGAGGAACCGAUUUAGAGAUCAAAAUCAGCCUCUAGGCCGAUUUAGAUCGAUAUGAGGAUAACUACCCGUCUCGUGGGUAAAACGGAAGGUUUUUAGGACAAACCUACAAAGAGGUGCCGCCCUCUCGCAGCGGCGGCGGAUGAUUUACGGCGCAAAUCGAUAAAGAUGUACUAAAACUAGGGUAAAGUAGAAAACAUGGCUAAAGAUAAAAAGAAAAAGCGAUUCAAGUAUAUUGUGUAUUCAGGGUAUUACAAUGAGCUGGCCUUGUCCCUUAAAUAGGGAUUGGUCUUGCCCUCUACAGGCCCUUCUCCACAUUCAACUCGGGAUAGAAACCAAAAGAAACCCAAAACAUGCCUUUCCGGGCAAGGAAACCCGAGACCCGAUGAAAACAGACUCGGACUCGGACCCUGACGGUCUGACCGACCACAUACCUGUGGUUUAGACACGGCCCUACUAGCCGGUGAGACCGCCCACAUACCUGUGGUCUGACCAGCCCUGUGAAGGAAACCCGGCAGUUUCUAAACUUUGCCAAUUUUCUCUAUUUCGUCCAUAGGUGCUAAAUUUGGGUGUAAACACAUGCAUCCCUGCCUUUUUUAUGAACAUCGUGAAUCUAAAAGCAUAGAACAUGUUGUCUUAGGGCGAUAAUCCAAUUACCAGCCACAGGACUUCCUAAGCAUCUCGCCAAACGCUAGGGAAGUAUUUCUUCAAGUAUUUCCCAUGGAUUGUUUUCUUGAAGUGCAUCCAUCUCUUUCAAAGUCUUCAAACGCUUAUCGAUGACGUCUUCAAAAUUGCCUCCCAUCAAUAUCUUGUAAUCUUCAACCGACAAGUCGUCUUGCUUGAAAUACCGAAGAUAGCCAAGAUUUACCUCAAUUGGCAAAACGGCUUCUUGUCCACAGACCAAUUCAAAAGAAGUGACUUUGGUAACACCAUGUUUAAAUAUCCUAUGAGUCCAUAAUGCUUCCGAAAGCACCUCAUGCCACUUCUUUUGGUGUUCUUCAAUCUCCUUUUCGACUAAUUUCAACAAUGUUUUAUUACUCGACUCGGCUUGUCCAUUAGCCUGAGCGUAGUAAGAAGAAGAACUCAACAACUUAAUAUCAUAAGAUUCGGCAAAACUCUUCACCUCCUUGGACAUAAAAGAAGCUCUUUGAUCAAAGUUUAAGGAAUAUCAAAUCUAUGAACGAUAUGCUUCAAAACAAAGUCAAUUACCUCCGUGUAAGUAAUAUUCUUGAGCGGCACGGCUUCGGCCCACUUGAUGAAGUAAUCCGUUGCGAUUAGCACGAACCGCUGCCCCUUUGAUGAUGAAGGAUAAAUUUGACCAAUGAAAUCCAAAGCCCAACCUUGGAACGACCAUGGUUUAUUGAUAGGAUUCAACACAGUGGUAGGCACUAAUUGAACAUUGCCGAUCCGUUGACAAACUUCACAUCCUCUAUAUUACUUGAAACAAUCAUCAAUCACUUUCAGCCAAUAGAAUCCCACUCUCCUAAGCAACCAAAUCCAUCUUACGGGCCAAUUGAUGAGUUCCACAAAUCCCUUCAUGUACUUCUCCCAUAGCAACCUUAGAUUGAUCAUUAUCUAAUCACUUCAAAAGUACUCCAUCUAUUUUUCGACGAUAUAAUUCUCUAUCAAGCAAAGUGUAUUUGAACGCUUGUCACCGAAUUUUCCGAUCAAUCCUGAGACUAGGAUCUUUCAAAUAUUCUAUUCAAAGGGAUUCUCCAGUUUUCUUCUGACUCUUCGGCACAAAUAUCCGAAUUCACAAUUAAUUCAGCCUUUGAAUCAAUUAUAACGUGCCCCUUAGCUUUUUGCCCGGGAUCAGUUAGACUGGCCACGCAAUGCCGGUCGGACCGCCCUAUCUGCCCGGUCAGACCAGCCAUGCAAUGCCGGUCAGACCGCCCCUGGUCUAUGAUUUUGUCAAUUUCUCCCAAAGAUUUAAAAAAUCAAGCACCGGCUUUUCUAGUUUCAAAAAGUAAUCCUUUCUUCAUAUUAUAGCCAGAUGUUUGGUGUAUCAAAUUACUAGACCAAAAUUUCUUCUUUCUAGACAUAUGAAAAAUUAUAACAUCCAACUAAUAUAUCUAGAUGAAUACUAAUUCAAGUGGCUUUUGAAACAAUAAUCAUCAAGGCAUCAAAAAUGCUUAGCCGCUUGAAGUAUGAUCAAUAAUGAAUCACCAAAGUCAUAUGUGUCACAUGCAUAGAUUCCAAUAAACUACAAAUGUAAGUAAUCGACUUAAGCAUGUAUGCAAAAUAUUAACAAUGCCAAUGUUCCUAAAAAAAACCACUCUAGAGCAAAUCAUCACAUUGACCAUUGACAUUAGCCGAAUUACUAAGCAAAAUUUUCAUGGUGCAAUAAAUAUGAAAUCUAUAUCUUAUAUGGUGAUCCAUAAAAACAUACAUGAUUUGGCUUUUAAUAAAUAUCAAAGAACCAUGAGCCAAAUCAUACUUCAAACAAAUUAUAUGCCAAUUUACCAAUUCCACUACUUAGAACUGGCAUUUGCAACAUGUAUGUAUAAUAUCAAUUUGAUAAGCAAAAACACAUGUGCUAGAUAGCAAGCAAUGUUCUAACAUGGCAUAGGCAUAUAAUAUAAUGGUAAACAUAAUAAACACAUACCUUGUCUUAGCAUCCAACAAACGGCGGCUCAAAGAUGUGAUGUUGUACCCAUCGUUGUUCAUCUCUUUUGAUUUCUUCAUGAGCAUAUUAAUGUCUUGCCCCCCGAGCAAAAUCGGCUUUCUUGAUUGCACGAUUUCAAAGGCAAGAUGAAUACCGCACUAAUACCCAUAGCAUCAUAUGAAUGAGACUUAUCUCUAAUGACCGAUGAUUCUUCUCUCAUCAAAUUGGAUUUAUCACUACUUUGGGAAAUCACCAAUCUCUUAACUUUUAUCUCUUUAGGUCUCCACGCUCGCUUAGGUGUCGUUCGAGGCUCAAAAUUGUUACAUAUUUUGUUCUCCACAUCUUCGGCUUCUUUUUCUUUUUGACCUAUGGCUCGAAGAUGUUGUAGCCUCCUCUUCUGAGAGCGAGAUAAGCCAGAAGGUAUCCACUUCGGCUGUGGUUGUAUUCCAAGAGCUAAAUGAUGAUUCUUGAUUUUUUUUCAGUUGAAGUGGAAGUUCUUGUGUUGUUCUUAACUUUCCCACUCUUCUCCAAUGCCCCCCGGUCAGACCAGCCUCUGGGCCCGGUUAGACCGGUUGCAAGCCGUCGGUCAGACCAGCCAGCUGUCUCGAUCAGACCACCACUUUUGGCAGUCACGGCGUCGGCUUCAGUCUUCUUCGCUUGUAUAGUUUUCACCGCAUCUCUAGUAGGUACUUGAACGUCUUGAGAUUCCUCCUUGAUAGUGACGACCUCCGGAGCUUUGGCUUCUUUUCUCACCCACACCUUCUUCACCUGUUUCACCUUUGAUCCACCGGACCGACUCUUUUGUGGGAAACGGUCUUGACUAGAGUUAAAUGAAUGACUUGGUACUGACCUAGAUGAUUGCUUCCAUUCUUGAUGAAACGGCAUAUAUGGUUGAGGCAUCCAUGGCAUAUAAUACAUAAAAGGAUAACCAUAUAGUGACAUUGGAUAUGGAUACCAUGGCAUCACAAUCGGAGGUUUGUAUGGAGUUGGUAUAGUUGAUGGCUCCGAUUGCUUUGGUGUUUGACCAAAUCUCUUCCUACGAUAUGAUCUUGGUCUUUUCAAAUCACUAGUCUGAUUAUCGAAUUGUUGACCAGCUAAUCCUUUCUUGUACUUAGCCAUAAGCAUCUCAAAAGUGAGGUUCAGCUUUUUGGUCUUUUGGAAACUAGAUGACUCAUCCUUUACAACUUUAUGAUCGUCGGCUUUUGUAUUAUUGAUCCUAGUCUUAGGCCGAAGAUCCCCAAUAAUAACACAUUUCCCUUUUGUGGAUUCGGCUUGACUAGGCCGAAUCACUACUUUCUCGUUAUCUAAAUCAAUAGGACUAAUAGGGAGAGGAUUACUAACAAUUCUGGUCUUAGCAAAAGGUAUAACCGAAAUAGUAUCACAAGUGACCGAUGAAUUAUCAAUCGGAUUUUGCUCCAUCAAGCUUGCAUCUUUAAAAUAAUCAUGAAACUCAUGCUCCAUUUGCGACCAUGUAGAAAUUGAAUUGGGAGCAAGUAAACUAUACCAUAUAGAUGCAAAGUUUGACAAAGAAAGAGAAAACAAUUUUAACUUAAGCAAAUCAUUACUACCGGUCUUACCAGAUUGUUCAAUAAAUUGGCAGAUAUGCUCCAUUGUUGUUCUAGCAUCCUCACCUGUGAAUUUCGUGAAGUUGGGCACCUCAAAUCCUUGCGGGUAUGGGACCAAAUCUAUGCGUUCAGGAUACGGCCUUUGAUAUGUAUGCAUAGCUACUUUGGAUUCUAUUUCACUACUAUACCGCAAGACAUUGUCAUCACCUUUUCCAACAUCCACAUGAUUGAUUUGUGACUCGAUCUUAGGUGACAAUACUAUUUCACUUUCGCUUGUGAUACAAUCCGAACCAUCAUUUAGUUCGGCUAUAUUUUCAAUGGCACUAUUGUCUAAGCUAGCAACACAAUCCGAACCAACACUUAGUUCGGCUAUACUCAUUAUGGCAUCAUUGACCAAAUUAUUAACACAAUCCGAACUAUCGCUUGGUUCGGCUAUACAUGAUAUUGCACUAUCAUCUAAACUAGCAUUUAAGCUAUUGUUAUCCACUCGGCUUUCCUGAGCCAGAGCUUCAUGCAACACAUGAUCAACAUCAAGAAAUAUCUGGCCAUUCAAUCUCUCUUUAAUAUAAUCAAGCAAUCCAUCAUAUGCAAUGUCGGCCAAAUCUUUGUCAGUUAUUUUCAAACUAAAACAUCGGCUUUUAAUAUCUCUAAACCUUUCAAUAUAAUCAGCAACAGAUUCAUUGUGUUUGUGCCUAACCGAUGUUAAAUCAAACAACCUAAGCCCAGUUUUACCAAUGCAAAAAUAAUCAUGAAAUUUUUGUUCUAAUUGAGCCCAAGUAUGAAUAGAAUUUGCCGGUAAAGAAGUAAACCAUGUAAAAGUAGUAAUGGACAAAGAUAAAGAAAAUAAGCACAAUUUAUAAGUAUCAGAACUACUAGCCUCACCACGUUGCGUUAAAAACUGACCUACAUACUCCCAUGUGGUCCUACUAUCCUCACCACUAAAGUUGGUAAAUUCAGGAACUCUAUAACCACGAGGGUAUGGGAUAUUGUCAUAAUAAUCAGGAUACGACUUUUGGUACUCCCUAGCACGAUCCAUCGCUUCAAUCCCAAAUUUAUCCCUAAUAAUGAUACUAGUUAACUCUUCCAUAUUCUCAGGCCUAUGCUGAUUUGGUGGUGGGUUUGGUGACCUAAAAGGUUGUGGUUGUGGCGCAAUAUAAUUAUAUUAGCCAUACCUAGUAUCGGGAGGAUAUCCCCUAGUAGGAUCAUUGUAAACAUUAGGGAUAUGUGGGGGAACAUAGGGAUUAACAGUAGAUACAGGAGAAUCAUGUACCGGAAUAUGGUAUAAAAGCACAUUAUUUGUCAUUGGAUCAAUCCCCUAUACCAGGAUAAUUACGCCGAUCUGACCGGUCUAGGGCCCGUUCUGGCUGGCAUCCAGAGGUGCGGUCAGACCGGUUUAGGGUCCGGUCUGACCGCUGGGAGGAAACCCGGUCUGCCGGUCUGACCAGCGGCGAGCGCGCGGUCUAACCGGCCGUCUAGCCCGGUCGGACCGGCUGAAUGCGCAGCUCCUCCCUCGCUGGUUGUUUGCAUAUUUGCCCCAUCGGUUUUGGGGUAAAUUUGAUCUACAUGGGCUUAACUAGUACUGGUAGAGGCUUUAUUUUAGGUUGGAAAUCGGCUAUAAAAGAAACGAAUUUAUUUCUCAAAAAAUCAGCAAAACGAGAUUCAAUAGAUGCAUCUAAUUUACUAUUUAGAGCAGCAAUGGAUGAAUCUAUUGUAGUUGCUAUGUGUUGUUGGAUAGGAAUUGAUACCUCUUCAGUACUCACCAUAUCAAAACUAGGUUUGAUCAACGGUUCAGGCUUGAGAACCACACCUUGGUGGGUCCUAAAGCACGAUCUCAUUAGCGCCUCCUGCGUGAUCGCUUUGAUGCACUCCUCCGUAAUCUUGCGUGCUUCCACAUCAAGAUCCUCCAAUGAGAUCUUGUUGAUCUCGUUCCCGCUCGUCAUGAUUGAUGAAGAAACUCCUUAAUUAAUUUCAGCCAUACAGCUCAUAACCAAAAUAUUUUGACCGAAUAAAUUAAUAUACGGUCUCUAAAUUUCCUUGAUAUGCUACUGUUCUUAGCCAAUUUUGUCCAAAACUAGCUUUUGUUGAUUUCCUGGACGUAACAGUGAAUUCGGUACUGUAGCAAAAUAUACAAAAAUUAACCGAUCUGAAAUAAGAUCGGCUGCUCUGUUUCCUAUUUUCUUUUUGGUAACAGUGUGCUACAAUAAAAAGGAAACAAUAUUCUUGCUGCUUUUUGUUUCUCAGCAACCGUGUAUAACACGUACUAGCACGAUUAAUCAGACUGAUCGGCUGCUGUGCCGCUGUUAACUGGUUCCUUGCGUGUUGAUGCUCCUGCUUCCUGCCGACUAGAUCGGCGACUGCCCUGGUCAAACCGGACUGAAUACGUCGGUUAGACCGGUGCAAUAUGACCGGUUAGACUGGCUCGGCUAUGUCGGUUAGACAGGCACAGUGAGCGGUCAAUUAAUUGACAGAUAGAUUUCGGCCGUUGGGCCGAAACUCUUGAUUGGAUGAAACGAUAGACAAUUAGAUUAAACGAAAUUCAGCCGUGAUAUGGCUGAUUAGAUCGUUCCCCAGCGAAGUCGCCAAAAAAUCGUGUUGGCAACUUUUUUGAUAAGUCGACAAGUACGAUCGCAGCACCUAAGCGCCUUGCGGCGAUAUGGAGUCGCCAACCACCCUAAUCUAGCAAUUGCUAAAUCAAGAUGGGUUUUGAUAGAUUAAACCGGCUAACGGAACCGAUUUAGAUAUCAAAAUCAGCCUCUAGGCCGAUUUAGAUCGAUAUGAGGAUAACUACCCGUCUCGUGGGUAAAACGGAAGGUUUUCAGGAUAAACCUACAAAGAGGUGUUGCACUCUCACAUCGGCGGUGGACGAUUUACGGCGCAAAUCGAUAAAGAUGGACUAAAACUAGGGUAAAGUAGAAAACAUGGCUAAAGAUAAAAGAAAAAGCGAUUCAAGUAUAUUGUCUAUUCGGAGUAUUACAAUGAAUUAGCCUUGUCCCUUAAAUAGUGUUAACAGUGAAAUUUGGUAAGCCCGAAGUCAUCAUCAGCUAAGAAUAAGUAUCGGCUCUAGAGUACUGGAAUCAGCCGAUGGGAGUCAUCAAAUCACCAGCAACCGUAUUUCCCGUGGAGUCGGAUCAACUAAAGGGAAUUUAUCCAUAAGAGUCCGAAUUCAAGAAGGAUGCGGCAUAGCAAGUUAUCUAUUAAUUAGGCAUAGUUUAGUUUCCUUUUAUCUUUAGGAAAGUGUGUUUAGUGUCCGAUAAGGACUUUAUGUUUUUCUUUUAUCUUUAGGAAAGUUUUUUUCUUGUCCGACAAGGACUUGUACCAACCCAUGGGUAUAAAUAUGUACACAUGGGGUCUAUGUGAUCAAUCAAUCGAUCAAAACAACUACUCUCGAUGCAUCGCCACCCUCUUUACUGAGGUUUUUACUUAUCUUCCGGCGAAAUUUGGGCACCUGACGCGGGGCUACAUCGGUUCAGUUCGAUCUCCGGCGAAGGGGUAAGUCCUACGUUCCGUUGGGCCCUGGUGAAUCUGUCAUCUACGUUGGCGUCGUUCAAGGCUGCAUCAGUACAUUGGACCUCUUGGAUUGCUCCGGUUUGGAUGAUAUGUUUGCCUACUUAUUUAUCAUAUGUCUCUGUUAAUCUAGUGUUACCAUAUCAAUUUAGCUCUAUCGAUUGCUUUUCGCUUUAGGGUUUCUACCGGUAUCGGCUAAAUCGUGUUGCUAGAUUAGAUUAGCUUAGGCAUCUACCACCCUGAAAAUUAGUCAAGGGCUUGAUUGUCUAGAUAUUGUUUUUCUUUUUAUACUUAGUGCUGCAUCAGUUAAGUUUGAUCUACUAAGUCGUGCUUAGAACCAUAAUCCCUAGCCUACUUGUUGACUGCCAAUAAGGGUUUCAUCGGGGUUUCAGCCGAUGAAUUAUCUGGACGUUGCAUCGGCUUAUAAGGAUUGUAUAUAUAAGUUGGAUUUAGCUGAUCGCAACAAAGGUUUCACUGUUUAAUAUAAUCUUGUGGAUUUUAUGGCAUUGGAUCUCCAGCCGAUGUAUUAUUUAACCUUCGGAUCAGUGCUUAUUCUACCAUGUUAUUAUUAGCCGAUUGGUUUCUAUUGGAUUAUAUUAUUGUUAUUUUAUUACAUCAUCAUCAGCCGAAUACCUUUAUAUCAUCAUCUACAUUGGACAUAUAGUCGGUUGCUUAAGCCCUAUCGCUAUCGGCUGGUAUCGGCAUCGGCUAUUAUCGGCUAUCGGCUGGAACUACUCCAUCGGCUUGUCAGCCGAUCGGCUGUUUGAUCUACUGUUUACAUAUCUUGUCAGUUACAGGAUCAAACUGACUAGCACGCCCGCUUCUCAUCUUUUGAACCUGCACUGGAGCUAAGCAGAUCUCCCAGGCCGGUGUGUUCGAUUUUUUCGUCAACAAAUAGGGAUUGGUCUUGCCCUCUACAGGCCCUUCUCCACAUCCAACUCGGGAUAGAAAUCAAAAUAAACCCAAAACAUGCCUUCCCGAGCAAAGAAACCCGAAAUCCGAAGAAAACAGACUCAGACACGGACCCUGAUGGUCUGACCGGACAUAUACCUGCGGUCAAACCUGCCCUACUAGUUGGUCAGACCGCCUACUUACCUGUGGUCUGACCGGCCCUGUGAAGGAAACCCGACACUUUCUAAACUUUGAUAAUUUUCCCUUAUUUCGCCCAUAGGUGCUAAAUUUGGGUGUAAACAGUUAGGAAUAAAGAUUUGAAGUUAGCAUCUCUAUUCUAAUCACUACCCACGAGUCCAUAUCCCUCACGUUUUAUUCAAUGAUAUUUUUUCCUGAGAUCUAUCUAAAAUGUACUCUAAGAAAUCAGAGUCAUCCCUCCAAGAAAUCCGAAGCCCUCAACUGUAAUAUCCCCUGCCCUAUGUAUCACUGUAGUAGUAGUUGAUGGCCUAUGUGGCCCAACUGUAGUAGUGAUAUGGUGGGGUUGGUACAAUGUUCUAUGUUUAGGGGGUGAGGGGCCAGCAAAUACUCGUCAUUGCUCGAAAUGUAAAACUUUGGUGUUAACCGUUUUACAUGAACUGAUCCUUUACGAUUUAUUACUUUGUGUACUUCAUAGUUAUUGAACUUCUGUCAGAAAUUAGUUUAUGCCCUAGUGUGGUUACAUUUGUUUCCCAUCAGCUUGUCACUAAUAGCUGAAAAAUAAAAUAACUAAGUAAAUUAUACACAGGCAUUAAAUAUCCUUGCUUGCUGGAUUGAAGAUCCAAGCUCAGAGGCAUUCAAAUGCCAUAUUGCACGCGUAUAUGAUUAUUUAUGGAUCGCUGAAGACGGCAUGAAGAUGCAGGUAACUUUUGGUCGUUCUUUGAUUGUUUUUAAAAGCAAGUAUAAUAAUGAGUUUUAAGCCUACUAUAAACUUAGAUGGAGAAGAGAGAUAGUAAAAAACAAGGAUGUUGGCUCUCAUGCAAGAGCUAGCUUAUCACAAGCUCCAAGAUAAAUACAUUAAAUGUAUAAGUGAGAGAUAGAGAGAGGAGAAAAAAAUUAUAGCUAACCUUAUAGCUAAUCUAUUAUAUAUGUUGGUUUUAAGAUAGGCUAACAGUAGGAAGUGAGCUCUACUAUUAUCUUUGCUCUAAGAGCACCCGCAAUGGUAAAGUAAGGUGCUAUCUAUAAAACAUGUACAUCUCAACAAUAGACUAGAUUAAUAGUAAACCACUUUAAUGGUAUGUCUACAUGGGUAUCUAUAGCUCUCUAAUCCAUUACCUCGUUUUUCUCUAUAGACUAUCUCUAAGUUAGUAGAUAGUUUUGUUCUCUCUCUUCAUUUAAUCUCUUUCAAGUAAGAAAAUAUGCUGACAUGAAUCUCUUUGUAGAGAGACUAUAGAUAACCAUUGUGGGUGCCCUAAGGCUCACUUCCUGCUAUUUGCUUCACAACAUUCCAUACAAUGGCUACUGCAUUAACAAACUAAUUAAUCAACAUUUACACUUCAACGGUGUUUACUAAUUGUUUGUUCAUGCUCAAUAAAGCCAUUUUUAGUAUACCAAAUACUGAAUAUAUCAUAACUGUUGAGAUUGAUGUAGUUUAAUAGAUGAAAAGUCCUUCCUACCCUCUCAAUAAAUGUCCUUUGUUGGGACAGAACUCAACAAGUGUGUGUAUUGCCUCUAUAUUCAAUGUGCCUGAAUGUGAGCAGUGUUUACAUAUAUAUAUACAAGGGUAUACAAAAGGAAAUGUCUUCAAUGCCCCUAGCCCUAUGAUGAAUCUCGAGUGGCUGGCCAGUAGGCCAGCCUUUAAUCUAUUAGUAAUAUCAUAGGUGGCAGGAGGGAGGUGUCCAUUAAGGAGGCAGUACCGAUUCCCGAGGUAGCUCGCUAUUGCUCGCCUAAAAGCAUGCUCCGGGUAAUAACGUGCACCGUCUGGACGUCAUCAACAGUGUCAGGGUUAGUUAGAGCAUGUAAUGCGCAUUUACUCCAACCCACUAGCGCCUGGUCCUUGAAUUUGGGCCGUUAGGGCGUAUUGUGCCUUGGUUCCUUCCGAGCCGCACUAUUAGCUCUGGAAACCUCCGAAGCUCCGAAGUCCCUGGCCGCCUCCGGAGCCCCUUGAGCGUGCUCCGAAGGCUCGCCAGGCUCCGGAGCUCGAGAUGCCCUCCGUGGCUCCAGGAGCCUCGGAUGCUCCGGCUUCCUUGAUCACUCUCGGAAUCCCUUGGGCGACCUCCGAAGCCUUGCCAGGCUCUGGAGCCCUUAGUGGCCACCGGAGCCAUUACUAUUCUCCGAGACCCUUAGUAGUUUCCGGAGCGGCGGCUUCAGCCAGGGGACCCAAAGUGGCAUUCACCCUCGGUUAUCUCCCUGGGGAGGAUGGCUCCUCGAAGCCCUGCAGGCCUUCCGGAGGCUGACCAUUUAAUCCGGAGCCAUUCCCCCAACAUCCUUUAAUAUACUACUAUUCAGGCAAGGUGAAGGUAAAUAGAAAAAUUACAUUCAAGGACUCCACUGCUACCUCGGUGGGUAGUCAGUAUUACGAGUUUUAAUUUGGGCUACGCAGCCAUUUGCAGUUGCUCAGAAGUCUCCAUUAGCAUUCAAAUUUAAAAACUACUAUUCAUAACAUAAAUGUGUGGUGGAGGCGUGGAGCAGUAGCGCCCCUGAUUUCACUGCAGGGUUACGACUUCUCAGGCCCUAGUGGGGUUACAACGUUAACUAUUUAGUGCAGAUUUACGAUGGCAGCCAGGUGUGGGACGCAGGUUUGACAGUUGAGGCCCUUGUGGCUACUGACCUUGUCAAAGAGCUUGGACCAACUCUUAAACGAGCGCAUUCCUUCCUUAAGAAUUCGCAGGUAUAUAUAAUCAUGCCACUAGACCUCAGUAAUUUGUCCAUAAAAUGUCAAUUUCAAUCAGCAUUACUUACUGGUUAUGUAUAAUAAGGAAGCUAUUUUCUAUAUGAAAGUUGCUUGACAAUUGCCCCCGAGAUUUCAACCGCUGGUAUCGCCAUAUAUCCAAAGGUGGAUGGACAUUUACAACAGCUGAUGAUGGCUGGCAAGUUUCAGAUUGCACGGCGACAGCACUGAAGGUAAACGAUUAAAUUUUCCUUAUUACCAAUAUAGAUGUUUUUUCAUCUAAUUUAAUUUCUUUCCCUUUGUCUACCGAAAACGUUAUGUGCUCAUGCAUAUACAAAAAAUAAAGUAGUAAUUCUUUCAGAAGCAUAACAGUUUUCCUGGACACCACUACUACAAAAACUCCUUUUACAGUUGCUGCAGAACUAUAUAUUACCGCAGUAGGAUAAAGAACUUGCUGUCAAAUAAAUUAGUAUAAUGUUUGAAUAUAUAUAUAUAUAUAUAUAUAUAUAUAUAUAUAUAUAUAUAUAUAUAUAUAUAUAGGGGCAUGCAUGAAUGAAAGUUAUCUUUUUCAUUGUCCAACCAAAUCAAGUUGAACUAAGGUACUAUGGUUGUGUUUAGUUCCUGAAAUUGAGGAGAAGUUUAGAGAAAAUUGGUAGUUUGGAAAAAAAAAGUUGGAAGUUUUGUGUAGGAAAGUUUUGAAUGUGAUGUGAUGUGAUGGAAAGUUGGGAGUUGGGGGAAGUUUGGAUGUAAUGUGGUGUGAACUAUAGAUUAUUUUCUGGAAUACAUAGAAUAGCUGCAAAUCGUAUCAUUAUGGAAGGAUAGAAAAAGAACCUCCAGAACAUGCCCAAAUCAAAAGAUGCAUAAUCACAACCCACCAAAGUCAAAUUAGACGGGACCCUUAGUGGACGAACAGUCACCCCAGCGAACGGUGGGUCCCACCUGCCCUUACUCAUUCCUUAUCUUCUUUUUUUUUCUUCCUUUCCACCAUCUUCUUCCCCCGACCACACGUCUGCACCAGCAGCAGCAUGUACCGCCCGCGGCCAGUGGCGAAAUCGCCACCGCGCCCAGGGGUGGAUCUACAGUAUUAUGACCGGUGUCAGGCGACACUGACGACUUUCGGCAAAAUCUAUAGCAAAUUUGCUUAUCCAUAUGUUAUAACACCAUAAUUUAAAUAUAAUUAGGAUUCUAUGACACCGAUAGACACGUUAUGACACCAAUGAAUCGAUUUUCUGGAUCCGCCACUGACCGCGCCUCCCCCCGCCUCCCACCCCUGCGGCGUCACAGCAUCCUCCCGUGCUAUUGCUGACCCCUGCCACUGGGGUCCUCCCAAAUCCGGUCGGCAGCGCCACCGCCGGCCGCAACCCGCCAGGCCACCACCACGGCCGGCGACCAUCCCUCUAAUCCUGCCUGCCAUGGAACAUUCGAAACCCCAAUCCCUAACUCAAAUCCCUCCCCCACACCCCCGCCCCCGCUGCUGGCCUCCGCCACCACCCGCUUCUCCCACCUCUCGCCAUGGCCGCUUUUCACCACCCUUUUGUUUCUCUUGACGAAGAGUUGAAGACAACGGGUGCGGAUGGAUCAGAGCAGAAUCAAUCAGCACCUUACGCGUGUCCUUUCAUUACUUACGGUAGCAACACACGUUCAUCAAAUAAUAUAAGGAUUUCGCAAAUCAGAACAGAAACACCACUGUCAAUGAAAGGACCACCAUAGCACAUGACAACACAUGGAGGGGUUCCUGGAUCAGUAUAUAUAUAUUAAGACCAGACUCUUUAGAUACUAAAUAAUUGAUUGUAAGAAACUGGUUGUAACUUUUAAGGGGUGGACUUUCUAGCCAUAGAAAAUGUGAAUAUGAAUAUUAGAGACUAGCUGCUAUCUAGCUAGUUAACCUCAGAUCAUGGUUGUCUCCUUCAAAUAAUUAAUGAGUUGUCCAGGACAUUAAAAUGGCCAAAUUGGAUUUGAGUAAGGGUUGAAGAAAGUUUUAAUUAUGGAAUAGGUUCAAGUUCAAACCAGCCAAGCAAGGGUGUGUUUAGUUCCACGUCAAAAUUGGAAGUUUGAUUGAAAUUGUAACGAUGUCACGGAAAAGUUGAAAGUUUGUGUGUGUAGAAAAGUUCGAUGUGAUGUUUUUGGGUUCAAAGUUUGCAUCUAAACACGGUGUAAAAUAUAACAAAAUUCAAGAAAGUCCCAUCAGCAUCAUUAAUUCUUGGGUGCAAGUUCAUUAUUAGUGAUGUUAAAUUGGAGUAAAUAACUAGCCCAGUGCAAUAGUAAUUUGUUUAUGCUUAUUGUUGGUUCCAAAUAUUAAACGUUUAGCUAAUUUUCCCAACUUGAAACACAUGUUGGAAUUACAACAAUAGGGUGUGCGAGUGCCUGCAGAAAUACUGAGGGGGAGUGGGAGCAAAUGGUCAUGGAACAUAUAGGGCCUCCACUUUUUGCCCUCCACAUUUUUAUAUUAUCUUUGUGUCAUCAAGUAACACACCAGAUACACAUUUAGUACAGUCAGUUAAAAAACUUGACUCCCUUGAAGUAAUAUUACAGUUGGCCAUGCACUGUACAACAUGUUUAUCAAUAUCAGUUCGUAGAUCCUCACAUGGUUCAAGAACUCAAGAUAAUGAACCAACUGUACUGUCAACAUCUUUUUUAACCAACUGUUGCAUGUUGUUUUUGUUUCUUAAUAAAUUUCUUUGGUUUUUAAGAGUAUCUAUGCUGUUACAAUUUACGUACAGGCAUGUCUAUUGUUAUCAAGGAUAUCUCCUGAAAUCGUUGGUGAACCACUGGAAAUUGAUGCACAAUACGAUGCUGUUAAUUGUCUGAUGUCUUUGAUGGUAAACAUUUUUCAAUCUUCCGUCUACUAUUCUACACGAGUUGUUGUAGUCAAUGAUCAGAAUUUUGUACAAUAUUCAACUUUGAAGAGCCUUGUGUCUGAUAUGUUUGUGUUAAUUACCAUUUACAGAAUGAUAAUGGUGGCUUUUCAGCAUUUGAACUCGUAAGGUCUAAUACAUGGCUGGAGGUGAGGGGUUGAUUUCUUUCAGGAUGCUCCUUUGUCCUUUCCCAUGUUAUAUAUACACGUAAAUCCCAAUGUACCAAGUUAUUUUUUCUGUUGCUAGCAAAAGGGGGAAGAUAGCGCGCCUAAAUAAGUGGACUUUGCUAAUGAAUAAUAAUGAUACCAAUGCUAUAUGAUAGCGGUACUAAUCUGUCCGGGAAAAAAAAUACAAUUGCACUCUUAACAGGACAAGAGAGAAGAUCUCUAACCGUGGUAAAUUUAUAGAAAUAAAGUGUUGCAGUUAAAAAAAAAGGUGGAUGGAGAAAAUCAAGUACAACGGAUCAGAACUUCAAAUUCACCCCUGUUUUGUACAAUCUCAAGUAAAUGGUGUCAUAGAAUGCAAACUUAAACAGGAUAACUGUUAACAUAGUUAAAUGCACAUAUGCAUAUAUGUAAAUUAAAUGCAUAUCUGUUUUUCUCCCUAAUUAUAUGGUCGAUGAAAAAGCACAGCUACAUUCAUCACUGUGACUAAAUUUGGCUAAUACUGACAUGUUUUGUUGGAGUUCAGCAUAUUAAUCCUACAGAGGCAUUUGGGCGUGUAAUGAUUGAAUAUCCGUAAGAUGAGAUAACCCAUUGAAUUUCAUUUCUUAUAUACUUCCCUUUUUUAUCGUAUAUAAGACAAUCCCAAACAAUAUGCAUCUGAAUUGACAGGUAUGUCGAAUGUACAUCAUCAUCAAUUCAGUGUCUAGCAUUAUUCAAAAAACUUCACCCAGGGCACCGCAAGGAAGAGGUGGAAAAUUGUAUCAGCAAAGGUGCUAAUUUCAUUGAGAGUUCUCAGAGAAGCGAUGGUUCAUGGUAUGUAUUAGGACAGGAUGCAUACAUAACUACAAAUAUGUGCGACCGAUGAUUUUAUAAAAAUCCCUACUCAAUUCUGAUUAAGCUGUGUUCUUACAGGUAUGGUUCUUGGGGGAUUUGUUUCACCUAUGCCACAUGGUUUGCAGUGACAGGAUUAGUUUCUGCAGGCAGGACACUUGGGAAUAGCGCUACAGUUAGAAAGGCAUGUGACUUUCUCUUGUCAAAACAGCUUCCUUCGGGUGGCUGGGGCGAGAGCUAUUUGUCAUGUCAUGACGAGGUAACUUUCGCAUCAGCCUUAUCAGUUUGGACAAUUUCGUUUAUACCCCUAUUUUGAUGUUUAAUAUUGAUUUUAUCCUUACUUUUUAGGGUUUUCGUUUUUGUUCCCACUUUUUUUGAACCGAACAAUCUUUUUGCUCUUGUUUUAGAUAGAGAAGUUAAUGGUGUUAAAUACUUGGCAAAAGGAUAUUUAUACCCUUUCCUAUCUCUAUUUACUAAUUGUGUUUUGCCUCCAUUCUAUGCAUGACUUUGGAAAUUUAUUUAAGUGAAUAUGUUUUAAAUUAAAUGACCCACAUUGAGUAACAUAACAAUUUGGACAGAUAUCUGAAUUUGAUGAAAUUUUGAUAAAAUUUCAGCAACAUUUUAACAGAAAUUGAACAGACUUUUGACAAAAUCUGAACAACAUUUUACACAGUCGUAUUAAGUCAUUUAACAGCCUCACAAGUACUAUCACAAAUUUCAACUCAAUGUCAUUGACUUGUCCUACAAAUCACAUCACAGCAACAAAAAUACACAUGUACUCCCUCCGUCUCAUAAUAGGUGACGUUUUUAACUUUUUAUUUACAACGUUCGACCAUUCGUUUUAUUUGAAAAAUUAGUGCAAAUAUAAAAAAGAUAAAUCAUAUGUAAAGUACUUUUGAUAAUAAAGCAAUUGACAAACAAAAUAAAUAAUAAUUCUAAAAUUUUUGAAUAAGACGAAUGAUCAAAUAUUGAUAAAUAAAAACUAACUAAAAAGAUAAAAAGAUAAGUAAUAUAAGUAAUAUGGGACGGAGGUAGUUAGCUAAUUGUUGCUUGGAUGGACGGCGCCGUGCGUUUGAACGAACCCGCCCGCCGGUGUCGCGUUGCUGCUGAUCCUCAGUUAAUGGCGUGGAGCAGCGGCCCCGUGCUGUUGUCGAGGAGGCAGGUGGACGUACGGGUACGCCGCCUCCAACGCCAUAUGCCCCGCGACUAAUCAUUAGAUAAAUUUUUUAAGUCUAAUUAAUCUAUAAUUAGAUAAUGUUUACUGUAGCAUCACAUAUACUAAUCAUAAAUUAAUUAGGCUCAAUAGAUACGUCUCGCGAAUUAGUCCAAAAUUAUGGAUGAGUUUUAUUAAUAGUCCACAUUUAAUAUUUAUAAUUAAUGUUCAAACAUCCAAUAUGAUAUGGAUUUAAAAGUUUUAGUCUCAUCUUAAACAUGGUCGUAGUCCAACGACAUCGACGCCCACCAGUUGGUGCAGUCGACGAUCAAGCUGCUGCGACGACUGGUUGUUCGUCCAGAUGGACGUACGUGAUGCCCUCCACCGCCGCCGCCUGCCCGAUGCCCAAUCGCAGCCGCCUGCGCCGCUCGGAUUGAUUUCAGGACUGACCCCGUGUGUGAGAGGAGAGAAGAAGAGACUCUAGGUAGGGUAGAUAUUUCCCAUGGGUACAAACCUAAAUCACAAAUUCGAAAAAUGUUUAUUUACUGCUAUAAAUCUGGUCCCACUAACUUCUGUCUAAAUCACGGGUGGUAAACGUCUCUUUCGGUUAAAAAAAGUAGGGGCAAAAACGAAAACCUAAAAAAUAGUGUUAAAAUCAAAUUGAACAUUAGAGUAGGUGAAGAAACAAAAUUAUCCCUAUCAGUUUUGUUUGAAGCUGGUAUUUAGGGUGGCUAUUGUUGCAUGCUGCUAUGUCAGGAUUUAGUGUUUCUACGUAUUUCCUACAAGGAGUCAACACGACGGAUGCUAUUGGAUUAUUUAUUUUCGCAAGAAAUUUUGAAAAAAAAAACAGCUUGAAGAUUAUGGAUUUUGGAAUCCGAGAUUCAGCAACAUGGUUCUAAAAGCUAAAAUAAAUAGGCCCUAAAUCAAGCCUUCAACCACGUAGAGCUGACCAACCAUCUUCUGAUUUUCAUUCAAUCAGGUUUACACAAAUCUUAAAGGCAACCGACCUCACGGUACGCACACUGCGUGGGCCAUGAUUGCACUAAUUGAUGCAGGGCAGGUAUGUUUUUUUUUUUUAUGUAUAACUUUUGGCCUGUGGAUUUUGGGACAAUAAUUCAAGGUGCUGUUAUAGGCUGAAAGAGAUCCAGUGCCUCUGCAUCGAGCAGCCAAGGCUUUGCUCAACUUGCAAUUAGAGGAUGGAGAAUUUCCACAGCAAGUAAGUAACAGCUGAUCGACUGCUAAUUACAACAGCAGUGUUAAUUUAAUUAUAAACUAUAAUGGUAAAUAAGGUUCAUGCACUACUACAGAAAGCUUUUGAUCGCUGAUUCGUAACCACCACCACCACCCCCCCCCCCCCCCCCCCCCCAAAACUGCACCACUGGUUUUGGCAACCACUAGAUGAAUAGUGACAGUGAUAGCUGCUCGAACCCACAACGACGAUAGCCCUUAAGAAUGAAAAAGAACAGUGUAAAAAAUACUUCUCCCUUCAUAUUUUAAUGUAUGACGUCGUUGACUUUUCGUCCAACGUUUGACUAUUCGUCUUAUUUAAAAUAUUUAUGAAAUUAUUAUUUAUUUUAUUGUGACCUGAUUCAUCAUCAAAUAUUCUUUAAGAAUGACAUAAAUAAUUUCAUAUUUCUAUAAAAUUUUUGAAUAAAACGGAUGGUCAUACGUUGAUGAAAAAGUCAACGGCGUCAUAUAUUAAAAUACGGAGGGAGUACAUAAUUAAUGGUGGUAUACACUUUAAUUUCUCCCAAGAGACUACCUAAUGUAGCACUGGAUCAAUCUUCCGGUAGGUAUGACAGAUUCGAUUUUGGUGGAUAACUUGGCGUAAUGAUAUCCAGGCUUUUAACUCGAACCGUUGAAGAACCCAACUCCAUUGAUCUUGCCAGGAAUUAAUGCUUUCCAUUGCAAGCGAAUCAAAGGACACAAACAAGAAAGUGAAAGAACGUGAUCUGAAAUUGCAGAUGCAUAUGAGAGCAAGUAUAAUAGUAGGCUAUAAGCCGGCUAAAUGCUGAGAUGGAGGAGAGAAGAGUGGAGAGAAAGGAAAAGCGGGCUGUAAACUUACAGCCGGCUUGGACACAAGAACCAAAAAAAUCUAUGAGAGAGACAAGUGGACCCUGUAUUAAUUAUAAAGAGUUAACUAUUAUAUGGAUAGGCUGAGAGAAAGCUACAAAGAACCUUAUAGCCAACAGGUCGGCUGUAUUAUUAGCCUUGCUCUGAAGCGAAUCCGAGUAUGAAGUUUGAGCUCUUAACAUGAAAGGACUAAUCGCCAUUGUCGAGAAGAACAAGAACAAGGGGCUUUGGAUAACAACAAAUGGACAUGUCAUCACAGUUAUAAUGAACGAUAUGUCUAGAUAAAACACAUGAAACUAAGAGACGGCUAUUGAGCUUUAUGCACUAUAGGAUGACCUAGGGUUGGGGGGAUUAUUGCCCGACACGAUAUGAGGCCCGAUGCCCCGAUACAGCCCAAAACUGGCCGGUGGCGUACGUAGCACCUUGUCGUGACUACACGGAAUGAUCCACAAGGCUUCUUAGUCUAGAGAUAACUAGAGAAUGCCCCGCGCGUUGCUGUCGGACUUGGUUAACAUCAAUUUGUUAGAUAGGAGGUACAAUCUCAAGAAGAAACGGAAGAAACAAAUGGCUUUCUUGGAGAAAUUCUUUUUAGCAACCCUAUUCAAAUUUUGUAGAUAAUUUAGGUAGCACAUUUAAAGCAUAAGCUACAAAGAAGCAAAAUGGUCUGAUCGUAAGUUAACAAAUUGUAAUGUUAACUGAAUGGGCGUUCAGUCAUAAAGCUCUUUUAUACGGAUUGAUGGGCCGGAUACAUGUAGAUGUGUGUAGAGAUGGGCCAAUAUGUUUAUGUGGGCUAUAUUUGGCACUGAGGAGAUAAAGAGACUCACCCGGUGCCUGACAGGUUGGGCUCUAUGCUGCGGUCCAUCCAAUGGUUGAGAACCAAUAUAAUGCAUUCAUUCAACGGUUCAUAAUUGAUGAUGACGUGAAAAUAUGAGGUCUGAGCUUUUAGCAUUAACUUUAUAGAAAGAAGGGAUAGAAGAACCGAAAGAAAUCAUUCAACAUUAUUAGCUUAUUACCAACGCAUCAAAGUAUGCCUAACUCGCUUCAAUGUCGUAUGAAGGAGAUAUUAUCAUUUCCAUGUAGGGUGGUCAGCUAGUUCCGAACCGAACGCUAGCUAAAGACUGAGUUUGUGACAAAUUGUAACUUGGUGCGAGAAUGGCUCGUGUGUAUCCACCAUGGUGAUGUCCUAAUCACUACCAGACGAUUUCGCACAUGAUGUAUCCUCGGGGAUUCAAACACUCGUGCGACCAGAGCAUACUAUGCCAUACAGUCACUUGUGAUUAGUGAAGGGACAUUUUUAUAGUAACUAAUUCUCUUAAUCUCGCUAUAUUAAAUAUUUGGAUAUAAAAAAUGAACCCAACUGAAAAGUUCUAAACAAUUAAGGUUCAUAUCUCGUAAAGCACUACAAUAUCCUUCUGAGCUCAUUUAAAAAAUUCAAAAUUUUGAAUUUUAGAAUAUCAAAAAUAGUAAUAAAAUAUUUCAGCACCUAAACUUAUAAAUUAUUUCAUCACCUAAACCAUUUUAACUGAAAAAGGUUGUCAACUACAAAUUUUUAGGCCUAAUCGAGUUCUAAAACUUUUUAUAGAACAUAUCUCUAUCUGAAGUCAUUAACAAAAUCAAAAAUUUAAAUUUAGAUGAAAACUUGUGAGCUACAAAUUUUAGAUGUCCUCAAAAUCUAUAAUUUUAAUACACAAGUUGUCUUUGUCUGACUUCAUUUUUAAAAUUAUAAAUUUCGCUCCCGGAUCUCUGUGUCAUUGUACUACUCACACAUCACCGCUAGGUCAAGACUGAAACUGGUGGUUCAAAGUGGUGAUAAAAUAGCACUCCCUCCGUUCCAUAAUAUAAGAGAUUUUGACUUUUUGCUUGCACUGUUUGACCAUUCGUCUUAUUAAAAAAAAAUUAGAAUUAUUAUUUAUUUUAUUUGUGACUUACUUUAUUAUCCAAAGUACUUUAAGCACAACUUUUCAUUUUUUUAUAUUUGCACAAAUUUUUUGAAUAAGACGAGUGGUCAAACAGUACAAGCAAAAAGUUAAAAUCCCUUAUAUUAUGGGACGGAGGGAGUACAAGUUAUUGAUGUCAGUUUGUAGAUGAAACCAGCAGUUAUAUAUCCCCAUGCACCGCAAUUUUAAGGAGUAAACAAAAUAAUCUUGUAGUAGCAAUGAUGUUAUUAUGUUUGCCAACUAUACCAUGACUACUAUAAAAAAUAAAAGAUAGCAGAUUCACACUAGUCUCAAAAUCGUUAUUGAUCUCAGCAUGUUUAAACAUAAUACACCUGAACCUAUUUUGUAUAUAUAUCUGUGCACAUUUUUUGCAUUGUAUAAUAUGGUCAGAUACAAUAGAUCAAUCGUUGAGUUGAAAUGAGAGAACAUGUUUUAUUGUAAAUAUACAUAAACUUUUAUUACUAUAUGCAAACAGUUAAUUAAAUUUUUAUUUAUGACUGUCAACAACAGGAAAUUGUUGGAGUCUUUCUCCAAACUGCCAUGAUCAGUUAUUCCCAGUACAGGAACAUCUUCCCUAUAAUGGCUCUCACAGGGUAUCGCCGCCGAGUACUGCUUGCAGGCAACAUAUAGGAGCAUGAUUUUAAGUUAUGCCAGCUCUUGGCAUGUUGGUUUGCCAAUAAAGUUACAUUUCACCUCCCCUAGCAGCAGUACUCUCUACUGUUCUAGCGUUUGUAUUUUGUAUUUUCUAAGAAAAAAAUGUUUUACCGCAUUUACUUAGUUCCCUUUGUUUGUAAUAAAACAUGGAACAUACUGCUUCCUUGUAGUUACACGUGCGUUCUAAUAAGAAACAUUAUUAUAUCUAGUAUGCUUACCAAACCCCUAAACACGUCGGCAAUCCUCAAAACACCUGAGCCUCUUGAAUUGCAUUCUCAGUUCUGGCAACCACCGUUCUGAUACCAUCUUUUCUUGUUCACCAUUAAGAUAGCAGCUGGCCACCCUAUAUAAAGGAAACAUCAGUAGCCAUUCUUAAAACGUACUCGUAGUAAGCUGGAACAUAGAUUCAUUCCACCAAAUAUAAGAAAAUAUUCAAGACCAACACACACAAAAAAAAAAACAGGAUUAUUUUUGAUAAAUAAGGGCAUCCCAAAUUGCAAUUCCUGUUUUAGAUAGACAUCAGCUGCAAAUAAUUAUUUUUCCCUGCUCAUCAGCAUACUAAAUAACAUCUUGUGGACUUGCUACUAAUUCAAAAUAAGAGUAUGGCUUCAGUUCAUGAAUCCCAACAGUACACUGCUCAAUUGGUAAAUGUUACAGCUGACACAAGCAUUACAGUGAACAAAAUGUAUUUGACACGCAUGUUAGAAUUCUUAUUAAACAAAACCCCCCUUCCAAGAGAACAUAUGUACUGAUAAAAAAUACCCAAAUUGAAAUACUGUGAUUCUAAGGAACAAGCCAAAAGAGGGUGGAAGGGCAUAGAAACAAACAUUGACACCAGUCCUACACAAGGUUGUCAGGAUCGGGAUACUAGGUAGUAUCGUUUUGCUCAAAGUAAUAUCAUAUCGUAGGAUCGUAUCGUAGUAUCGGGAUACUAUGAGAUUUUCUUUUUUUAAGUUUAAUUAAUAUUUAUAUUAAUUAUAUGUAGCCAUUCUAUAUAAAAAAAAUGUAGUAAUGACAUAUGUCAUGCAAAUAGAGGCAUUUAUUAAGAGAAACCACGUUGGUUUUGAUAUAUUUAACUGAAUUUUAUAUAAAUUUGAGCAUAUUUAUUUACAUUAUUUUCAUACCAUGUUAUUUUAAAUAAUAUUUUGUAGUAUCGUAGAGAUCGUAGAAUCGGGAUACCACCUAAGAUUUCGUAGGAUCGUGUACUAAUGAAUAGUAGGAUCAAGAUACUAUGAAAAUUAGGAUACUAGGUGGGAUCGGUAUCGUUUCGGCUUGGUAGGAUCGUAGUAUCGUAAGAUACUAGGAUACGUAUCGGGAUACUGACAACCUUGGUCCUACAUACUGUAUACCGACAAUCAUUGACACACUAGACCUGCUUCAUGCCAGUAAAGUUCCAGUUGGAUUCAGUAAAUAUCUAUUGUUAAGAAAGAAAAAGACUGAGUAAAAUUUCGGCGUACCUUUCAUAUUCCUGUUGAGCACUAUGUACAGGGUUUAGCAAAACACGAUCAUUCUCAACCAGAUUUCUUCGCGUCUGCACCAAAUUAAUAGCUUUUGAUAAAUCCUCUAGUAGACACAAGUGCAAUGUAUCAACAAUUAAAUCAAGAGAAUACGCAAUUGGUUGGGUUGGACACGAGACGGCUUGGAACUAUACUAUCGAAUACUCCCUCCAUCUAUUUUUUAUAGUCAUAUUUCCAAAUCUGAAAAAUUUAUUUUUGAUAGGCAUAUUUCAAUCCAACAACUUAUCAUCUUAAUGACUUUCUCGGAUUUAAUGCGUGACUCUCUAUUCUUCCACACAAGAUUAACUAUAUGGGCAUCGAGAAAUGUAAUAUUAAUGAAUCGCUUGUUUACAGGGAAUGACUAGUAGCAUGUUUAAAUAGAUGAUAAGUAAAAUUACUUAUCCUUGGUAUAUGUGUUAAGAUGAAAUAUGACUAUCAAAAGUAGAUGGAGGGAGUAUUAAUUAGCCAUUGCUGGCAUUACACCUGUCAAAAGGUGUAUCUAUGUGUAGUGUUAUGUAUGUACAAGGGAAAACUAGCCUAUAAUGCCUUCUGGUCCAGUCGCUCUUUUCAGUUCAGGCACCUGAUCAAGCUGAGGAUCCAGUCACCAGUUUGGACAGAUUUAUUAACAGUUGGGAGUGGGUGCUGACUCAUGGAUAUUUCAACAGUCUACUCUUGAUAAUUGCUGCCUCCUUUUGCCAUCAAAUGAUACCCAGACGUUACUUCUUGCAUCAUCUGGUAUCUGUGGAAGUUGCAAAUGUAAUGGCAGUUACAAAAGAGUGUGCAAAUUUUACCAGUUAGCUAACCAGGUUGUGGUAUUGUGGGUUAAAAACAGGAGCUAAAGCUGCUACUAGAGUCUGAGUUACAUAGUCAUAGUAAACAUUCUUAAUUAAGGGUGAUAAUAAAGGUUGCGUGAAAGCAUAAACAUUUUAUCGGAUGUUGAAUGUUGAUUGCUCCAUACCUUCAAUUCAAGUCGUGCAGAAAUCAGGAAGGAUGACAAGUCUAAAUGACAAUGAGUGCGGGCAGAUUGGAGUAAACAGCAAACAUGGGGCAUUUGGAUGGACCUAGAUAACAAGAGCAACAAUGAUCAUAGUGAAUAACUGUCCUGUUCAAUUGGCACUGGGUAGCGUGCUUGGAAAUGAAACAUUUCCAUGGCAGAUAUAAAAAGACUAAUAAACACACAUUAUGUGAUUGCAUAUCGAACACAAUGUAUUUGAAUGAAACAACAAACAAGAGUACAUGACCACCAUAAAAGCAACAAAUCUACCCAUCAUUUAUCCUUGCUCAGUUUUCAGAAAUCAAAAUGGAUUAUACAAGAGCGCCAAAAAUGAUAAGUAUUUUCAAUGCAGUAACAAUGUUCAAUAUUAAAUAUUUCCGAUGAAAUAGUUAAGAAGAAAGAAAAUGAUAUUUAGCUCAUUGACCUUGGAGAUUGGCUGUUACAAUUAUUCUUAAAGUAAAUGCUGGGCAUGCUUCUUUGAAGUUUAGCAAGAUGGUUCCAGGAACUAUUUCACUGGUAUAGAGUGGAAAGCGGCACAACUAGCCUUUUCAUAUGUUCCUCUUUGAACAUGUACAGGAUGCAUUAUUAGAGAGAAGUCAUAUUUAUAUAAAAUAAUGUCGUAUUUUCAUGUAAAAAUCUUCCCUGAAAAUAUUAAGCAUGUGCAUCAUCAAUGAGAAAUAUCUAUACAUAACAUGGAGCGGAAAGCAAUAGAGGAAACAGAUCUUAUUUAAUAACACGGGAAAAUGCUUUUUUUCAUGGUCAUUUAUCACUUAACAUGGGGUAAUUUAGUGCUUCUGAGGAUUUCUACAACUUGUAAGAAUUAGCCUACCAUUGAGCCUCCAGCUGCACCAGAGUAUGCUGUACUGCCAGUCGGUAUAGCUACUAUCACCCCCAUCUCCUUCAACCUAGAAAUAUUCUCAUCAUAUUAAAAAAAUAGAAGUUUUUAGUACAUAUCUAAAAUAAUAUUAAAAAUCCUGAACUUAUAAACAAAUACAGGAAUAAAAUAACAAAAAUAAGCUCCAAGAAGUGUGUCUACAUUAGUAUUUAAUCAUUAGUUCCAACCAACACUUGCUUCAGGCAAUCAAGUGACACAAUGAGUUAUGAAAUUGUGAAGGACAAUUCAGCUUAGAGAAAUAUGAACAUAAUGCAAUAUGUUUUUUAUCAUAUGAACAGUAGCAAAAAACAUAGUUAUGGCUUCUCUAUUUCAGUGCAGCUGUCGCCUAAACUCUGUCAAGCUUAAAAGAAUUGAGAAAUGGGCCUACCUUCAUGAUUCCAUCCACUAAAUAUCCAAACAGAAAAGGUGGAUUUAUGCUACAAGAGAUGUACUUUUUUAAUACCCUCUGAAUCUUACCUUUGUGAUUAGAUGGUUAUGCUCGUAGCAUUCAAUUUUGGGCAGGUAUGGAUCAGAACCCUGAUCAACAAGUACGUCAUUUAGGACAUCAAAUACUUUUCCUGGCAUUGCUUUUCCAUUGCAAAAGAUCUCACCUCAUAUAUGCAUUUUAAGGGUUAUAUAAACUCCAAGUGUAAUGUUACCAUGGAUGACAGUUACCACUCCAAGUGCUGAGGAAUCCUAGCACAAAACCUUGCAUCUUGAAUAUAGAAGGUGUGCACAAAACCAUAACCAGGAAUCCUAGCAAAUAUAUCAUGAACAGCAGGCUCGAUGAGAACAUUCAAAUGAUCAAAAGCAAAGCAACCUGAAAAGAAAGUGAAUGAAAGUCAGCAGAUCAAAAGCUAUGUCUGUUGCCAAACAGAGAUGGGAAUUAUGUAGAAGUACAUGAAAUAUAUUAGCCUAAGUGGCUAAUAGACAGCUUUAGGGAGAACUAAAUCAAGACCACCUUUGACACUCACAAAGAUAUGUUGCCAAAAAACAUAAAAUGAAUGAGCUAUCGAUGCUGUGAAAUCUUUAAGACUUAAUUUAUACACAAAAAUACAAAACUGUGUCACACAAAAAAUCCCUACCAUAAAAUACCAGUUAAUCAACUUGACAUGAAAAGGGGUUAUUGUAUCCAAUCAAUUAAAUAACCAGAAGACAAGUCCAAUGGUGUAUCCCACAUUCCCAUGAAUUCAUACAGCUCAUUUUAGUUUUGAAGCAAGCUCUUAAACAGGAAUUGUUGAUCAAUCAAAAUAUUUCUAUAAACUAAAGCCAGAGAACAUUUCCAAACUAUGGAAGAAAUUAUUCUACAAGUAUUGACUGUAUUGUACUCCUCAUACGAUCCUAAAGAACUUUCAACUAAUUACAUGUAGUCCAACAUCUUACUAUAUAUUAAUGAGAUGCUCAGAACAGAUCAGGACAAAAAAGUGCAUUCUAACCAUGAAUCGUACAACUUUCAUGGAAAGAAUUCUCUAGCAGGAUCUUUAAAAACUUCUAAAAUCCUCAGUACAUCGAGUUGCAAUUUUGCAUAAAUAAAUACUGUUCUCUAAGAAACAGGAAUGAAUAAUAAGAAAUGUCAGUGAUAGCAUAUGAGGCAACCGUGGAGGCGCAAUUGGCCGUGCCAACAAAAUGUAGAAAUGUGCUAUCGAUUGCAACUUAGUGAACAAAUCUUGGAGAAGACCAAUAGUUUAUUCGUUCAGACAAAAAUGACAGUUUUAAAUUCUAUACUGAGCAAUGGAAUUUUAUACAAAACCAUAUGCCUUUGAAGCAUGAAAAAAGGGUUUACUCCUAUGACCACCAAGAAAAAGGCAACACCAAAUGAGAUUGCAAUUUUAUACUGAUCGAUAGGAUUUUAGUACUGACCUGGCUAUAUGAAUCACUACAGUCUCUGUUCACUUGGUAAAAGAGUUCACAAUUCAAUUUAAUCCGCUUUGGUCACUACUCAUAUUGGAGCACUGUUCCACGUCACAAUCCUGGGUAUUUUGACUCUUAGGUAAUAGGCCUAAACAUAAAAAAGAUUGCAAUUAUCUUCCCUGAACAACUAAAGGACUCUCUUCUAGUGAACUAAUCUAUCACCAGGAGUUGUUGAGCUCUAGGUUCAACAGGUUAAAAAUAUUUCCCUCAAGCACGUAGACAAACAACAAUCUAAGCAAUAGAGCACAAGUCAGAACAUAACAGCUAGUUGACCCAACAGAGAGCAUUCUCGGGUCCUCUCCUGUCCAGAUCAUAUUAGUUUCAGAUCAAUUAUGUGUAUUAUCAUAUUAGUUUCAGAUCAUUUCAAAAGAUGCACAACAUGAUCGCUAAAAGGAAGAUCAAAUGUGAUAAUUUGAGUUCGUUUGUAGAAAUUAAAAAAUGCAUGCAGUUAUCACGACUAUCAUGAUGUAGAAUAUUGAUGCUAUGAAGGAAGGGACAUUUUAGAAUUUAUAGAAAAACAUCACACGAUCUAGCAGGAUAGAAACAUAUAAUAUACCUAACAAACCGAGACCCCAUAUGGCAAAAUCUUACCAUACAAAACCAGUCUACUAUGUUUAGCAGUACACAAGAUAAUUUAAUUAGUUCUCACUUAUGUCAAAAUCUAUUUCAGAACUAUUAUUUUUAAUGCAUCAGGUAUGCGUAGAAAUUUAAUCUAUUAGUCAUCUUGUCCGGCAGCUAACAUAUACAAAACAUGGACCCUUGUGAAAUAUCCAUGGAAACCACAAAUCAAAAGAAAAAAAAAGCAUGAAGGCACUGAGGCACAAAAGCAAGAGAAAAGGAUGCCACCAUGGAAUUCAUCGCCAGCAAGGCUACAUUUCAUAGAAUGGCUCUGCAAGUUCUUUGCGAUAGCCAAUAGCACGCACAUCAUUGUGUCACAUAUAGUGAACUAUAACGAUGGGCUUGCAUGCCAUGUUAUGUCUAAUGGUUUUUCAAAUCAGUUACAGUUGAACAAUAAUAGGAAUAUAUCUUUAAAAAAAUAUGAAAGGAAGAUUAAAUGGUAUUCAGCAACUUACUGUAAUGCUAUGCAGGAUAUCUGUCAAUUGUUGAAACGAUAACCUCUUUAAGAUGCAUCAAUUGCAAGGGAAAGCCUGUUUCCUUUCCUCCCUUCUGACGCGGCCCAGUCAACCUCUUUCUUCCUGCACCAGCCUGGCCUAGUGUGUCGGCCUCUUCCUCCUCCCACGAGAGCGCCGUAGGUAUAAAACCCCCCUUACAUGUACAGCUGUCAAUUAUUUAUUAUUUAUACGCAAAUAAAGAUCAGACAAACAUAUAUAUUUGUAGCAGAGUCCAUGUAUAUACCUUGAGACGAAUUUCAGGCCUGCUGAUCGAUUAUCAAUUGAUCUGCACAUUUGGACUGCAGUAAAAACAGAAGAAAAAAGAAAUCUCAGUCAAUAAACAAAGCCAACGUGUGGGAAUAUCCUGUAAAUUAGAACUAAACUGCACAUAGAUAUUAUACUGCUCUUCCUUCCUAAUAUCUGACCAUGUACCGACUUGGCUAUUCCCAGGAAUCGCAUGGGAAUGAUUAGAAGAAACCACUGUAUACAACUAUGAUAUGAAAUAUAUGAACCGUUCAUACCUAGAACUCUGCAUUGCAACAAGAUUACCUGACCAAACUGAUCCAAUGUAAACCUGAAAAAUGUAUCAAGCUUAACCAAUGUAAACAAAGAAAAAAAUUGAACGGGAUGCUCAUCAGCUGGGAUAACACCGGAUAGAAUAUAACCAGCUCACGGCCAUCAAGAAAGAAUGUCGACGGCAGCGGCAUGCAUGACAGGAGAUACUUAACGAUCUUCUCCACCGAGCAACAGCACAACCCAAGUCAUAUUAACAUGUCGCAUGAAUCUGGCAAGGCUAUUGAAUGAAGAGCACCCUGAGUUAAAUCUUAACAAGAGGGAAACAUAUCAGGUACGAAUAAAGGUUUUAUCCUAAUGAAAUUAUGUUGCUAGGCUAUCGAGAAAAAUAAAUUGUAUUUACCAUUAGCUUCCAGGUGUUGAUGAUCCAUCAAUAUGACCUGUUUUUUUUUCUCUCCAGAUAAGGGAUACCGUUCCUUUCAGCAGAUUUUUGUGAUCCAAGCUGACAAUUGCCUUUAGAAUUGCUGGCAUCAGAUGUCCUAGGAUCAACUGUUACCACUGAAGCUUCGAUUUACCUUUCCUCAACAGAUGUGGAGGCUCCAUUGCUGGAUGGUUUUCCAUUAGUAAUACCAGAAGCAACUGAUAGAAUAUAGUCACUAUCAAAGGAUGCCCCAACUUUUCAAGACCAUAAAAUCUCAGCUGCUUUAUAGUCAAUGGCUCAUUUUGUUCAGCGCUGAGACUCUGUUUUGUCCUUAAGUGGUCAGUAAACUACUCGACCGUCACUGAGGGUUCAGAACAGAUUUUGGAUAUACUCCUUUGCUUCUAAAAAUGUCAGUCAUCCCAUUUGUUUGGGGAACACAUCUCAAGAAGGAAACCAUGCCUCAAGGGGAUUACUCUCUAAUAUAUAGCUUGACUGAAGUUCUGUCCUGGUGCCAUGCAGUUCACCUUGCUCAGUACUACUGUCGUGCUUGCUCAGUACUUUUGGAUACACUUCUAUGCCACAUCCAGAUUAUGCCGUGCUGCUUCAAUGUCUAUGUAACAUGUUUCCCUCUCCUUCACUGUUCCAUCAGAUUACAGAAGUGCUGUUUUUGCUACCUUCUGAGGAGAAACCUGGGCUGUUUGUGAGCUGGUCUGUUUGAUCAUUCUUCACAGGCUUACCAUUCCCAUUUAAUGAGCCAUUUUGUGUAUCCACAGUCUCUCAGCACAAGUGACAUGCUGCUUCCAUCUCGAGACCAUCACAUAUGUCCUACCAUUCCCUUCCUGGCAAUGAAGAUAAAUGGGCUUCUUCACACUAUCAGACACAACUUCUGUCAAUCGCUGAACCUGUUUGGCAGAGGGUGCAGUCCCAAUCUCAACAGGUAUAUUCACCACCUCUAUCUUUCCCAGUGAGACAGCUUCCUGAACUGCCAAAAGAUAUAAAUCAUCUUUAACAUCUUCCUCCCAGAGAUCAACUAUAAUUUUGAAUCCCUUUGACAAUAACCAUUCUAGUUUCUCCCCGCUGAAUUGUCCUCCCCUCCAAAAUGCAACCUCAACAGUCUAUCUCAUCUGAUAGCCAAAAGAAUUAGACGCCGCAUCAACCCAGCAAGCAGUGCGCCAAGGUCCGCUCCGCAGAUGUUCGACGAAAUGCUCACAAGCAGCAGGAGAUCGAACCAACGAACCUGGCAGUCGAGCCCGAUCCGCGAGCUGAAGAACGACGCCCACGCGGCGACGACACCAUGCCGCGCGCCACCACCACCUCCCGAAGACACCAUGAAGCGCAGGAAGGGAAGGAGAAGAACGCGGUGGCGGGUGGCGACGGGGAAGGGGACGGAGUUGGCCGCGACGGCGUCGACGAGUGAGGCCGUGACGCGGAGGGGAUCGGGAGGCGGCGCGGCGCUUCCGCCUCAACUCCGAGCGCCUAAGCCACAGCCGCCGCCCCACCACGCUCGAGCGCUGGCCCUACUCGCCGCCGCCUCCACUCGGACUCGCCGUAGCAGCCGCCGCCUCGGCCGCGCCGCCACCGCCGGCAGCAACGCCGCCGCGGCGACUGAACGGGGAGAGGGGAAUCGACACGUCACACGCCACACGCCUCUCCCUUCCCCAAAUCGACUUGACCCAAAACCACCGGACCGGACCCUUGUGCUAGGUGACUGACAUGUGGGCCAACCACCGGAGCGCAGGGCUGGGCCCACCUGUCAGCGAAGUGAACGGAGCGAGCAUGAGGUGACCUCGCCGGCGCAGCCUCCUCCCGCCGAGAGGGCUGACAAGCUGGAUUUUUCACAUUUUGGUCCUUUAAAAAACUUAUUUCGCAAAUAGACCCCUGGAAAAAUUUAUCCAGAAAUAGUCCUUUUUGGGGCGCCAGAGUGGCUGGCGCCGUCGUCCAACUGGACGGCGCCAGCCUCUCUGGCGCCGUCCCCCUGCCGACGUGGCGGGGCGAUGCUGAGGUGGCUAGGGGGAGCGCGCCAGAGUGGCUGGCGCCCCCCCCCCGAAAUUUUUUAUUUUUGUUUUAUUUGUUUGAUAUUUUUUUCACGCUUAAGGACACACAAGAACCAACCAUAGAAAAAAUGAACUCAAAUGGACGUAAUAUGUGACCUAUAGAAUUUUUCCUCUCCUCUCCUCUCUCUUCGAACUAGUGCAAACGAGAGAGAUGUGCAACUUUUUUAUUUUUAUUUUAUUUUUUUAAUAUUUUUUUCACACUUAGGAACUCAUAAGAACCAAACAUAUAAAAAAUAAACUCAAACGGACAAAAUAUGUGGCUUGUGGAAUUUUUCAAAGCUCUACCGAAAAAUUUCUCUACUCGAAAACACAAUCUUGCAAGCGGAAUUUGGAGGUUUUAAUAUCGCCGAACCCGGCAAAGAUGGGGAAAAUCGGAUGUAACUUUUUCAAAGCUCUACCGAAACAUAUAAAAAAUAUAUGUUUGAAAAUAUAUAAAAAAUAAAAAUUCCACAAGCGGAAUUUGAAAAACUUUUUUGAUAUUUUUUUCACACUUAGGAACUCACAAGAACCAAACAUAUAAAAAAUAAACUCAAACGGACAAAAUAUGUGGCUUGUGGAAUUUUUCAAAGCUCUACCGAAAAACUUCUCUACUCGAAAACACAAUCUUGCAAGCGGAAUUUGGAGGUUUUAAUAUCGCCGAACCCGGCAAAGAUGGGGAAAAUCGGAUGUAACUUUUUCUGUAGAUGUCCGUGGAUAUAUUAUUUGCCUGAUUUCGAGUCCGUAUGAGAAAGUUACGCCUAUUUUAAUAAAUGACACUCGAAUGACUUUUCGGUAGAGCUUUGGAAAAUUCUACAAGUCACAUAUUUUGUCCGUUUGAGUUUAUUUUUUCUAUGGUUGGUUCUUGUAUUCUCCUAAGUGUGAAAAAAAUAUCAAAAAAAUAAAAAUAAAAAAAACUGUAUCUCUCUGUACUGUUUAACUUAUGGCUAUCAUUUCAUGUGGUUAUAUUUUGAAUUAGAGAUUAAGUAAUUUCAUAUAGUUGUAGAGUGCAUUAUGUUUAACAUGCUGAUCAAAGGGUUUUACUAAAGGAGUUAUGGUCUAAUUUUGAUGAAGGUGCAAAGUAGGCUAAGUGGUAUGCUAUAUUUCGUUCGAGUUUAUAUUUUUUUCUGUGGUUGGUUGUAUCGUGAUCCUAAGUGCGAAAAAACAUCUAAAAAAAUAAAACAAAAAUAAAAAGGUUACAACUCUAUAAGAAAUAGGAAUGGAGGCGAGGGGUGAUGGGGGGAUAGGGCGGCGCCAGCAUGGCUAGCGCCCUCCUCUCUAGGGCGGCGCCAGUCAUGUUGGCGCCCUCCUCCUGCCACGUCGGUUCGCGUAUGCCACGGUGGCAGGAGGACGGCGCCAGAGAGGCUGGCGCAGUCCCGUUGUACGACGGCGCCAGCCACUCUGGCGCCUAAAAAGGACCAUUUCUGGGAUAAGUUUUUCUAGGGGUCUAUUUGCGAAAUAAAUUUUUAAAAGGACCAAAAUGUGAAAAAUCCAGGCUGACAAGUGGGCCAACCAACGUCGUCCACAUGGGACUGGGCCCACCUGUCAGCGAGACAGAUUUGAACUGCGAAGGCCCCCACCUCGCCGGAGAGAGCACCUCCCCCCUAUAAAAUGCCGUGCCUCGACUCCCUUGCUUCUUCGUGGCUGGCUCACCAACCAAUCUGCCGCGGCGUGAUCGGUUCGCAGCUUGGGCGUCUCGGAGCCGGAGCGGCGUGAACGCCUCCUCCCGCGGCGCGGGUUCGGCGUCUCGGAGGCGAGCGGCGGUGAACACCUCCUCCCGCGGCGCAUCGAUCUUCCUUGGCCGGCCACCACCAGACCAGGUACGAGCCCAACUAUCCCACCCACUCGACGCCGCCGGAAAAACACCACCGCGUCGACGAGUGGGUGGGUGGUGUUUUUCCGGCGGCGUCGAGUGGGUGGGUGACUGGGUGGUGUUUUUCCGGCGGCGUCGAGUGGGUGGGUGGUAUUCUGUUGUUAGGCGCGGCGAGUCCCCGUCGAGUCGUGGUGUGACUGGUGUCCUCGGGGGUGUGGGCUUGGUGGGGGUCAGCUCUAGGGCAGAAAUGGAGGUGAGCGAGCGGUUCGUCUCGGGUGGGUGGUGGAGGCGCGGGGUCUCAGAUUGUGUAGCCGCAUGCAUUGGUCGCCGGAGAGUUGCAAGGAGGUGGAGGUGGAGACGAUUUGGGGCGGUGAAGAGCGGCGCGAGGCGAGCACGAAGGGGAGUCGGCGAUGCGGUACGGGUCGCACGGCGUCGACGCGUAGGUCAUGUUCUCCGGGGUGGCGAGUCCGCGUCGUGUCGUGGUUUAUGCGGGGGCAGCGUGGUGGCGGAGGGCGCAGUCGCGGAGAGGCGAAUCGCCGUGUGGUGCGGAGACGGUGGGCGGUGGAGGGGGUCGGGGAUAGUGCGACUGCUCGAGCACGAUCCGACUUGGGAUGGUGACGUUUCUGGUGUUCGUCGGCGCUCCAGCGAUCGAACAGCAGAGAGGGCGUGGUGUUGGUACGGCGGGUUCGCCACGUGUGGGCGGCGUAACCGCGGUGUAGCUAACUGGGAGGCGACCGCCGACGAGGCUCGGUGGUCUCGCGGAGGGCGCGGUGGCGAGGGGCUGGCGUGUCGACGAUGGAGGCGCGCCGCGCACACGGCGGCGUGGCGCGGUGGCAAGGGACUCGCGUCGACGGUUGAGGCGCGGCGUUUGCACUGCAUGGAGAGGCUGAGUGGCCUGGCGGGGUGGCGAGGGGGCUUGCGUCGACGCGCUCUGGUACGCGUGUCUUCGAAAAUGGCAAGAGCGGGGUUCGAUUUCCCAUGUUCGCAGGCGGUAGAUUAGGUUGUCCACGGUGGCCGCGCUUCGGAUUUAUGGCGCGCAGCUACUAUUGACCGUGCGCUGCAAGGCGGUGAGCUAUGUCAAUUGUCGUGGCGAGGAGGUGGCAGCGACGAGUUUAGGCGGUAGCCUUGGAAACCCAAGAGAGGGAGCAGGGACACUAUGUCAAUCUUCGUGGCAGAGCGGCAGAGGCAGUGCACGCGACGCGAUCGCGCCCUGGCGCGCGUUGGCACGGCUAGGCUUGGAGGAAGGCCUGGGGCCUCGGUGAACGGCGGCCAUGGUGGCGGCGCGCGCGCGAAGGCCGAGUAGCCUGACGCGCGGUGGAGAAGUGCUCGCGUCGAAGGUGAAGGCGGCGCGUGCACGGAAGCCGAGCGGCAUGGCGCGGUGGCGAGGGGAAUGGCGCGCGUACAGACUACAUAGGGCGAGCGGCGUGUCGCGGGCGGUGGCGAAGGGCUCGGGUCGACGGCGGGGAAGGUGUGCACCUGACCUGAUUGCACAUGGGGGCGUUGGCUCUCUGGAAGAAGGAACGCGUAGAUGAUCCAGGCAUCAAGCUCGGAGGGUGGCAAGCAGUCAGGAACGUCGAGCCUAGCUGGAGGUGUCGCGCCGCCUUGCCAGGAAGAGAAUGACGGCGGCUACCACCUCUGUUGCAACCAAUUGGAAAAAUAGAAUGAAUGGACGAUGAGAAAUGUGUGUUUUCUCUACUGUUGUGUGAAGAAACUUUGUAUAUUUUGCCUAUCUCACACUUAUCCAUUCCUACUCAAAUCUAAUCUUCAAUGUGUUAUAACUACAGGUGUCAACCAUGAAAGACGAUAACACUAAGUCUUUUCUGAACAAGGUGAAGGAUUUUUGGACUGAGAUCACAACUAGAGAGUCGCAAGUUGUGAAAAAUAACAAUGCGGAUGAGGUAGGUGCCUAAUAUGUUUUUUCUAUGUUAAAAUUAAUUUCGUAUAAGCUUCAAUUGAUUCUAGACUGAGUUCAUUUUUUCACACAGAUUGAAAAAAACAACAAGAAGCGUUCAGGACUCUACCGCGACCUAAUUGUGAUGUUCGCGCUGGGUAGUGUAUUUUGGAGUGGCGCGAAAAAAGCACUUUCUCAGCUAAAGGGUUGGGUUUUUUGUGUCGCCAGUGUAUACAUCAACUUCGCGCUAAUCUCCAUGAUGGUAGGGGCUGCGGCUGGUACCUUGCCAGAUGUCUUUAGAUGUCACAUGGGCCUCUCGGGCAAUGGCGUGCUUCAAGGACUUCUCUUCAAUAUCAUAGCCUUCAACUAUGAAUUAUUCACAACCUUGUUGCCCGGUUCCUUAGUUAAGCUGUCCCAGAGAGUUAUGUACUGGGUUACAGGAGCAACAAGUGCUAUUGCAGUAACAGUCAUUUGGACGUUGGCCACGGAAGACCCCCUGGUAUGUACCUGCAGUACAACUCUUUCAAUAUUAGUCUAAUCCACUGGUACGUACUCUGCUAAGUAUCCACUGGUAAUUAGUCUAAUCCAUUAAAUUGGUAUCUUCCAUUUACUGUAGUGUGCUCUGGUUGUUCUGAGGAUAAUUGGGCGCUUCUUGCGAUGGAUCUGUGUAGCCAUUUGUUCUUGCUUUCCUGAUUUCAGGUUUGAAAACUCCACACAUAUCAUUUGUUGUUUGGGAUGGUACGGUGUUUAACUAAACUAGAAAGGUAGCCCGCGCAUAUGCGCGGGCAUCUUAUUUAAUUGUAUUAGAAAUUUGAUUAAGAAUGUUUAUGAUUACUCAAUUGUAAACAUAUUUAAUUUUUCAAUAAUUUGUGUGGUGUUUCUCUGAAUGCUGAAUGCUAGUAACCAUCGCCGACAUAUAAAUUCUAAACUAAAAUUACUUGAAACCAUGCCUUUUUGGUUUUAUAAGAAAAAAUAUAUAUGAAACUAUAUAUCAUUUAUACAUAGAUAUUUUCUAUUAAAAAUAUGGCUAAUACGACUACAUCAUCUAAUUAAAAGAGCUAAAUAUGUUGAAAUGUUGAUUUAAUUGUAAGUAUAUAGUAUUAAAUUAUGAAACUGCGGUUUAGCGAUAAAUGUUUUUCUCAAUCAGAAAAUAUAUUACAAAAUGAGACUUUUAUUGCUCCCAAGUUGUAGUUUAGGGUUGUAUACUUUGAACUGAAAUUGUGUUAGAUUUUGUUUCCAACAUAAUGCCGAAAAGUCAAAAUUCCUAUUAUAUUUUAUUUAAAAUUUUAGUUAUUUUCAUUAUAUCAGUACUCCUAAAAUUAAAAUAUUUGAACAUUGAGAAUGGGUUUCAAAUAAAAAAAUGUUAAAUUUAGAAAAGAAAAGUUCAGUCUUCAAUUAUUUUUAUCAUGUUAUUAUUAUUUUUCUAGAUUUCCAUUCAUCCAGCAUCCCUUAAAUGUUUUGAUCUCUGCAAGUUGAAAUAGAAAUAUAAGUGGGUUAAAACCAUAUGACUUGGCAUGGGAUAAAGGCAUCCUUAAAUGUUUUCAAUCUGUUGUCUAUGACAAAUAUAUCCUAGACGGGUACACGUUAUGACAUAAAAAAAUGAUAUAAUUAAAUUUUUUUUCUCUAAUCUAUUAGUGGCAUCAGAUAUCAUAUGUACAAUUUAGAUGUUAUGAUCAUCUUAGGAACGUUUAUUUAUCUCUAAAAAGAUCAUUUAUUCAUAAAAGCGCAUCUAAGAUCAAGUAUAAGUAAAUAGCCCCAAUAUGCAUGUUAAGAGAAAUUAACUACUUCCACUAAUGAGGAAAAAUAUAUCAAUAUUUAUAACAUCAAAUUAUAUUUAUCGAACUCAAAAUUUAAUAUGCUUUUAUAAUAUAAUUGUUUUAUGUUGCAAAUGUUACUAUGUUUUUUAUAAACUAAUUCAUGUUUUUUAUAAACUAAUUCAAGUAAUUUGACAUAGACAAAAUUUAAAAUGGCUUGUGAUUUAAAACAUGAGGAGGAAAAAGGUCAUUAGAUGUCUAGCAUGGUAUAAAUAAUGGGUUGACCCUUUUUAAAAAACACAAGGUGGGAUAUUUUAAUUUUUAAUGAGAAAUUUUAGUAUUUUAUUUUAUUUAUUGGAGGCUUCAGGGUGGAUAGAUGUGGUCUACAAUGCAAGUCAAUACGCAUAUUAAAUUAUUGAUUUAAUUGAAAAUUACAAUAGUUUAGAAAUAUCAUAAAUUGAAUAUACGCUAUACAAAUUUAUGAUUAUUUUAAAGUCUAAUUUAUGUUUUUUACUAUAAGUGCUAGCUUGAGGAGAAAGCUAGCUAGACUGGUUAGGCAGAGUCUAUUUGUGGGAGUUUUUUUUUCCCGUAAAGAUAAUUUUGGAUUUAGUUGCUAUGGAGAUAAAAAGACCAUAGAAGGAAUAGUAGGGAGAGAGGAACAGGAGGGAGUGAGUUUUGGGAUUUUCUUUUAAAGGGAGACCUAACCAUAUAAGAUAUUGGAUCCAUCGAUUUAAGUGGAAACAAUGGUUAGAUAUUUUAUUUUCAUUUGUCACACUUAUAGAUUUUUUUUAAUUUAUUAAAGUGUUACGUGGCGAUCGACUUACAAGCGUUCAUGGGCAUACCAUUAGGCCCAGACAUUUGUAGUUAGAACGGCUGCACGAUCUAAUUUUUAGAUAACAAAAUAUGAGCAAUAUGGAUUUUAAAUUUUAUAUUUCAUUAUAAAUAACACAACAAUUGACAAAAACUGAGAAUAAAAUUGUAACUUGGGAGUUAUGAUCAUUUAGAUGUCCGAAUUAAUUUUUGAUAUAUUGAGUGUUAACUAAAAAAUAGGACAGGAGGGGCGAUUCAGAGGGUCGAAGGAGUACAUACUGCAUUUGUUUUUUUAUCUCAUGUAAGUAAGGUGUUGAUGGUUGGGAUACCAGAUUUAUUUUCUUCGAGAUGGUGAUCUAAUGGUUAAAAUUAACAGGUCCAUCAAUUCAAAUGAAAAUUAACGGUGUGAUUAUAGAAUACAACGUGACGAUCUAGAAGCAUUUGUAGAAGCCAUGUGGCGGCCGAGAGCGUUUAUAGGAAAUUUAAUUGGUUUUUAGUAUAAAAACUCAUUGAGCUUCCUAUAAACACUCUUAAGCCAUCACGUGGCACUCAUAUAAACUCCCGUAGGUCACCACAUGUCAUAUCUCUAAACUAAAAGAAAUAUUAAAAAUUCUGAGAAAAAAAUAUCUAAAUCGGUAAAAUGUGAUUUUAUAUCUAUUAACACUUCCUUCUAAACUCCCAUCGUGUACUUACUAUAUGCGUAGUAGUAGUACUGUUUUCCGAAGGUGUAAACGAAACGUACUGUUUGCAAAAAAAAAAAAGGCGAAACAAAUAAUACUUACGUAUAGUAACGUAUGUACGCCAGUGGAAAAAAAAAGAACGUACAUACCCUGCCCGAUCCUCACCUGAUCCCAAUUUUGGUGUACGUUCUCCUCCUAUUUCUUUUUCUAUAUAUAUUAGUUAUAGCAAACAUGUCAUUUUUUUUUCAAAAAAAGUGGGAUACCAGAUUUAUUUUUUUUAUGGAGAUCUAAUGGUUAAAAUUAACGGGUCCACCGAUUUAAAAGAAAAUCGACGAUGAGAUUAUAGAAUGUCACGUGGCGAUCUAGGAGCGUUUGUAGGAGGCCACAUGGCGAUUUGAGAGCGUUUGUAGGAAGUUUAAUGGACUUUUAGUAUAUAAUAGAUAGAUAGAUAGAUAGAUAGAUAGAUAGAAGAUAGAUAAUAGAUAGAUAGAUAGAUAGAUAGAUAGAUAGAUAACCCCGUGGCUCUUGCAGGCACCCGAAAAAGAUGUCGAAGAGUGCAGGGCACAAAGGCACGACCAAUCAGUAAGUAUAAAUAUUGUCAUUAAUCAUGUCCCUCAUUCUUUGGUAGGCCCAGCACAAAAUUUGUACACUCCCACUUAAAUCCAUGCGUUGUCUAGUAGUAACAGUAUUGUUUACGCAAACAGGGAUCUUGCAGCUGCUCUGGUGGGGACCAAUCACUCACAAGUCUGAUGUGGUACCCAAGAAGAGACCAACUGAUAGUACAGUUACUCUGACUGACAUGAUCAGCAUAGAAGAUUCAUCCUAUAUGGAGUACUCCUGCUAUAGAUGCAUACUCCUACUCCCAUCCAGUCCUCUAUUUGUUGACGUUUUGAAGCUGGGCUUUUUGGCUUCAAAAGCUUGACGCUUUCGUCUCCACAUACUCACUUUGGACGCUACUCCUGCUUUAGAUGUUUUAGGUGUACUACUGGUACUGGCAGGGAGCAUAGGCCAGUACCAUGAGAUUUGCCAGAUUGAAACCUUUUGUGUUUCGUCCUAUGUGUUGGGUGGAUUUGUCAUGACAUGUCAGGCUGCACCCUCCAGCAGAGACGCGGCCACGUUUAAUUUCAGACCAUUUUGCUAAUGAAAUUUUAGACCAUGUGACGUUGAAAUUCAGAUUUGAUCAAAUCUAAAAAUAAUUAACUUAAAGAAAAAUCAAAACUAUCUAUAAUAUAAAAUGAAAGUAGUACACCAUUUAACAAUCAGCACGGAGGAUGACGUUGGCACGGGGAGAGGUGCCAACGCUGGGUCGAGCCUGGCUUCCUCGGCUCCUCGCUCCCGUUUGACACCAGCGGCUGGUGGCCAGCUCGCGGAUGCAAGGCAGGGUGCUCCUAAUGCACGGGUGAUCGCUCCCAACGACCAACCCGUCCUUCCCCUAUACUCCUCUCCCUUCUCUCUUUUCAUCAUAAAUUUCAAAAAAAAAACAAAGUUAGUAAAAAAAUUAGAAAAAAUAUAAUACUCUCAUUCAUGUGCAUAUAUUUUAUACCGUAAACUUUGCACGCAUAAACUUUAUAAUAGAAAUAUUCUAUAUAUAAAAUAUUUGAAUCCUAAUUUGAAUUUGAAUCGGGUAUAUAAACUUUUGACUUAUAAAUAUAUUCACUCUAUAAACUUUAGGUGGAUAAACAUUAGAUGUGUAAACUUUAGGUGUAUAAACUUACUAAAAGAGGAAAAUAAUGUGCGCAUAAACUUUGUGUAUAGAAAUAUUCUAUAUAUAAAAUAUUUAAAUCCAAAUUUAAAUUUGAAUCGGGUAUAUAAACUUUUAAUCUAUAAAUUUUAGGUGCGUAAACUUUAGAUGCAUAAACUUUAGGUAUAUAAACUUACCAAAAUGAUAAACUAUAUGGAGAAAAAAGAAGAAAAAAUAGUGGGAAAAAAGGCGAUUGGCGAUCGAUCGCUAAUUAGCGAUCUCGCUCUUUGCAUGCUCAGGCUAGGUCUUCACCAAGCGGCACCGGUGCGUCCAUCGGCGGCAAACACUGGAGCAGAGAUUUUUUUUUCUUUUUAUGUGUGUGUGCCGGUGAGGCCACUUGGGCUAAUAGAGGGUUAUAAGAAGGCUGAAUGCUGAGGUGGAUGAGGGAGGAGAGGGGAGGGACGAGAAGCGGGCUGUAAGCUUAUAGCCGGCUUAGACAUAUGUGCCAAGAAAAUCUGUAAGACAGACAGGUGGACCAUAUAUUUAUAGUGAAGAGCUAACCACUAUAUGAGUGAGUUGAGAGAUAGGCUAUAAAGAUCUAUACAAUAAGCAGUUGGCUAUAUUAUUAGCCUUGCUCUAAGCGCAAUUCUAGCUUGGUUUUCAUGAUGCUGCUGGAGGCUCCGGUUGGUGAAAUGUCAGAUCCUAGGAGUAGAACAAAUUCAGAAAACAAGAUCACCAGAGCACAAUUUUUCCCCUGAAGGUGGAUGCCGCAAGACUAUUCUAGGGUUCUAGAUAUUUUCUACUCCUAAAGACAAAUGAUAUGGUGUUCGAUGCCUCUUUCAUUCAUUCUCCAAAGUAUUUAAGCUUACAAAGUGAGGACCACAGCUCACAUCACCAGAAUACAGCUCAUUCAGAGAAAAAGAGGAAGAAACGGACAUAAUAUGGGCCACAGUGGUCCCCGACAAUCAUCUACGGUCAGAUGUCGCUUGUACCUCUUCGGAAUUAAUCCUGGCCAUAGGAUCUUCAUAGACGCAGGCUUUGCUUUCCCCUCUCCCUAAAUCGAUCAAUCUCUGAAAUUCUAACUGAACAACUGAAUCUUCAGACUUCCCCCUAUUCUGAUCCCAGGUCUUGACAAUACCUUCCCCUUGAGAUUAUCCUUGUCCUCAAGGAUGAAAUGUUGGAUACAUGCUUUGAAUCACAGCAGCAUCCUCCCAUGUGGCAUCUGCUGGUCCCAAAUUUUCCCACAGUAUCAACCAUUGAGUUACUGCUACUCCAUUUCUGGGAAUCAUCCUCCUCUGCAAUACAGCUACAGGUUGUGUUUUGAUCUGUCCAUCAGGACCCAUAGAAGGCAGAUUAGACAUAGGCACUGCUCUUUGACCCAAGUGCUUCUUCAACUGACUUACAUGAAACACAGGGUGUAUACUGGCAUCCUCUGGUAGCUGUAAUUUAUAGGCCACUUGACCUAUCUUCUCCAGUACCUUAAAUGGUCCAUAAAACUUAGAUCUCAGCUUCAGUGAUCCCCUGAUACCAAAUGCAGUUUGUCUGUAGGGCUGCAGUUUAAUGUACACCAUGUCCCCAACAUUCAGACUCCUUUCUGUCCUGUUUCGGUUGGCAUAAUGUUUCAUCCUUCUUUGAUCCUCAGUCAGACUUGCUUUCAAUUUCUGCAAAAUGGCCUCUUAUUGCUCAAUUGUCACCUUGCCUCAGCAGACACAUUGCAAGAAAUUGAAAAUUCAUUGAUUUGUGGAGGUGGAUACCCAUAAAGAGCUUGGAAUGGUGUCAUCUGAAGGGAUGUAUGAUAGGUGGUGUUGUACCACCAUCCUGCCAAGGAUAGCCAAGAAUACCAUUGAUGUGGCUCCUGAAAUGUCAUGUUCCUCAAAUAGGAUUCAAGGCACUGAUUGACUCUUUCAGUUUGCCCAUCUGUUUGUGGGUGGUAUGAAGUACUGAAUCUUAGCUGAACCUUCAUGCUUUUAAAUAUUUCUUGAAAUAGUUGGCUGGUAAAAAUCCUGUCUCUAUCUAUGAUAAUUGCCAUAGGCAUCCCAUGCAGUCGGUGUAUAUUGUUCAUAAAUAUCUCCACCACCUGUUCCACACUGUAUGGGUGUGACAAAGCCAGAAAAUGAGCAUAUUUUGUCAACCGAUCCACCACCACUAGUAUGGCAUCUUUCCAUUUCGACUUAGGCAGCCCUUCUAUAAAAUCCAUAGUGAUAUGUGUCCAUGCCAUGUCUAGAACCUCUAGAGGAUUUAAUAGACCAGGUAUAUGUAUAUGUUCGACCUUAGUGAUCUGACAGACAGGGCACUCCCUGAUGAACAUCUCCACUGUCUUCUUGAGACCUGGCCAAUAAAACAAAGCUUUGAUUCUAUGAUGUGUUGCCCUCAUCCCUGAAUGACCCCCAAAAGCAGAACAAUGGUAAUCUCUAAUUAAGUUAGUUCUGAUAGAGGUCUCUUCACCGACAUAUAUUCUUCCCUUGAAUCUUAAAAUUCCAUUUUCAAAACUGUAGUGUUGAUCAGGAUCACUAUUGGUUCCAAUCAUACUCAAAAUUUUGUGAGCCUGCACAUCACCUUCAUAGCUAUUUUGAACAUCAAUGAUCCAUUUAGGUAUAACCACUGUAAUUGCAUUACAUAUUUCAGUUUGAAGCUGAUCUUGGGGAAGUCUUGACAGAGCAUCUGCCACCACAUUGUCUUUGCCAGCCUUAUACUCAAUUAUAUAGUCAUAUUCCAUCAGUUUUAACAGCAGCUUGUGCUGAAUUCCCUCAACCAGCCUUUGGUUCAUCAUGUGCUUCAAGCUUUGUUGGUCAGUUUUGAUAACCAGCUUACUGCCCAGGAAGUAAUGCCUCCACUUCUUCAAAGCCUCCAAUAUUGCCAUGGCUUCUUUUUCAUAAAUUGAUUGAGCUGCAGCUUUAGGACCAAGAGAUUUGCUGUAAAAAGCUAUGGGUCUGUCACCCUGCAUAAGUACAGCUCCUAUUCCAGUACCACAUGCAUCAGCCUCAAUUGUAAAUUCUUUGGAAAAGUCAGGCAAGGUCAGGACAGGACUGCUACACAUUUUCUGUUUAAGAAACUUGAAAGCCUCAGUUUGUUUCUCUCCCCAUUGAAAGCCUUCUUUUUUCAGCAUGUCAUGUAAUGGUCUGCAAAUUAACACAUACCCUUGUAUAAACCUUCUAUAAUAUCCAGUCAUACCCAGGAAUUUCCUGAGAUCUGUCACAUUCUUAGGAAUGGGCCAGCUGACAAUCUUCUCAACUUUGCCUGGAUCAGUGGCUACACCAUUUUGUGAUAUAAUAUGUCCCAAAUAAGACACACUGGACAGACCAAAAGCACACUUCUUGGGUUUGAUCACCAGAUUGUUUGCCUUCAGCACUUGCAGUACCAGCCUGAUAUGUUCUUUAUGCUCUUCCCUGUCUUUGCUAUAGAUAAGUAUAUCAUCAAAGAAAACCAAUACGAAUUUCCUAAAGAAUGGUGCUAACACUUGGUUCAUAAGUGAUUGAAAUGUGGCAGGGGCAUUAGUGAGACCAAAGGGCAUGACUUGAUACUCAUAGUGUCCCAAAUGGGUUCUAAAUGCAGUCUUGGGAAUGUCAGGUCUCGACAUCCUAAUCUGAUGAUACCCUGACAUGAGGUCCAACUUAGUGAAAAUUUUAGCUCCAUUCAAUUCGUCCAACAAGUCUUCAAUUAUAGGCAUUGGAAAUUUGUUCUUCACUGUUUGUGCAUUUAACUGUCUAUAGUCAACACACAAUCUCCAGGAACCGUCUUUCUUUCUCACCAUUACAGCUGGUGAUGAGUAGGGACUAUUGCUAACCUGAAUCUCCUUGGAUUCAAUCAGUUCAGCAAUAAUUUUCUCCAUGGCUUCCUUUUGAUGAUGAGGUACACGAUAGGGCCUGAGGUUAGGGGGUAUAGCUCCAUCCUUCAAAGUAAUAACAUGAUCACACCCUCUCUGAGGUGGAAGGCCUUUUGGUUUUUCCAAAACAGUAGGAAAUCUUUGCAAUAUAUCUUGAAUAUCAUCAGGAAUGCUGAUGCUUUCUUCCACAUCACUCUCUUCUGCCACUUGGGUGAUUUGAAACAAAUAUCCCAGACCACCUUUCCUGAUAAUUUUGUCCACCUUACUGCUAUCAACUAACAGAUGUUUCCCAGUAUUAGUGAAAUCUUGUAAGGUGAUCACCUUUUCUCCCUUAGUUAUACCCAAUUCCCUUUUCUUCAAAUCAAGAGUGAUUGGGCUAUAUUUGUAAAUCCAAUCAGCUCCCAAUAUAAUGUCAUACCCCUUCAAAGGUAUCAAGUUAAAUUUGUUGGAGAAAGUUUCACCCUGAAUUUGGUACAGAAUGUCAGGGACUUGUACUUCUGAUUUGAGCUCUCCACCCCCUGCCACAACAACUUUCUUAGAAUCAGUAGAUACCAGAGGACAAUCAUUACGUAUAGCAUACUCCUGAUCCAUGAAAGUGCUUGGACUUCCACUGUCUACCAGCCCUACUGCCCUUCUUCCAUUGAUUUGUAUAAUCACCGAGAACGUGUCCGGUCUGGUAGCCCCUUGCAUAGCAUUCUGUGACACAUACAUCAGUUCCUCCUGAUCAAUUUCUUCAGGUGCAUGUUCAGUUUCUUCCAAGACUUUCUCCUGUGCCUUCUUUUCCCUGCCUACUUCCUCAGUUCCUUCAUAUUCCUCCUCCUCCAAAAGUAGUGCAUUUAGUGCCUUCUUCACCUUGCAUUGAUGUCCAGGAAACCAUGCUUCCUUGCAAAACCAGCAUUUUUUUCUCUCCAUUCCCUUUGUUUGGUCCCUUGUUCCCAGUAUUCCUUGCUUGGUUAGUCACAACUUGGUUUUGUGGACGAUUCCUAAACAGAUUCAGAGACAUUCUUCUAGCAUUAGCAGCCCUUUCAUAGUUUUUCGCAAACCAAUAUGAUUCCAGUAACCCCUGUGGUUUGUGCCCACUCACAUCAUGCUUGAUGUCACUUCUCAACCCCCCAAUAAAACAGCUGUUGAGGUAUUGCUCCUGCAAGUAUGGAUGGUCCCUUCUCACCAAAUCCAUGUAUUCUUCAAAUUUGUCAAUAUAAUGUUCCACAAUUUGUCCAUGUUGUUUCACAUUUUGAAAAAGUUCCAUUGCCUCAUGCACAUCUGCUGCAGAAAAACUGGUGCAAACCAUAGCACACCAUUGUGGCCAAGUGAUCACCUGCCAAGGAAGACCAAUUCCCCUAUACCACUUGAGUGCUCUGCCCUGUAAAUGUGCCAAAGACAGGUUGACCCAUUGCUCCACUGGAGUUCCAGUGAUCUCGUAAAAUUUUUCACACUAUUUCAGCCAAUCAAUUGGAUCUUCUCCACUAAACAGAGGAAUCUCCAAUCUGGGGCCUUUGAUGACAGCUUCAGCAUAAUGGUUUCCAUCAGCUCCCUGUCCUCCAUAUAGACCCCUAUUCUGAUCCAAGAUAUGUACCCCAGAAUUCCCCUGAAACCUUCUAGGUAUUCCUCCCACACGGUCAAACCCCUGCUGACUCCCAUUUCCAAACACAUUAGGCCGAUGAGUGCCCAUACUAGUGUCAAACACCCAACCAUUCAUUACAGCCGCUGCAUCCUGAGGCCCCCUUGAACUACCAACUCCCUCAACAGAAAUGGUGUUGUGUUCAAUGGCAAAACGUACCUCAGGAGGAUUCCCAGCAGUGGGAUUGCUUGGUCCUGCACCCCCAGUAUCUGAACUAACAGUUUUGUUAGCCUUUUCAGCCGCAACAGCAGCAACUGCUGCAUCUGUGUCACCGUCAACCUCCUCCACAUUCUUCUGCUUGCAGAGUUCCAACAGCAACCCCUUGAUUUAAUUUACUUCAGACUUGAGAGUUUUCAGAUCAGCCACCUCCUUCUUGAGAUUCGCCAUAUCCACCCUGAACUCAUUUAGCUCCUCCAUAUCCAGAAUCGUCUCGUUGGAUCGGGUCUUAGUAACCAUCCAAUUUUUCUGCAAGAAAAGUUCAGGAACUAGUUCCCUCCCUUGUUUCCUCUUGCAGAAGUGUCUACCACCGCCUGGUUCAGAUCUGAGCUCCGGAGAUUUCACGGGAACACAACCUGAUGAACAGGAUGGUCCUCCAACCCUUGCUCCAAGAUCUGUUCCUCACUCUCGCCUCCGGAUUGAUUUCACCACGGCUCAGGGAUUUUACAGUGGAUCUCACCGCCACCUUCCACCAACCCUCACCUGAUGAAAUCAAGAGCCAAGAAUUCGUACUGCUCUGAUACCUCUGUCAGAUCCUAGGAGUAGAACAAAUUCAGAAAACGAGAUCACCAGAGCACAAUUUUCCCCUGAAGGUGGAUGCCGCAAGACUAUUCUAGGGUUCUAGAUAUUUUCUACUCCUAAAGAUAAAUGAUAUGGUGUUCGAUGCCUCUUUCAUUCAUUCUCCAAAGUAUUUAAGCUUACAAAGUGAGGACCACAGCUCACAUCACCAGAAUACAGCUCAUUCAGAGAAAAAGAGGAAAAAAACGACAUAAUAUGGGCCACAGUGGUCCCCGACAAUCAUCUACGGUUAGAUGUUGCUUGUAUCGCUUCGGAAUUAAUCCUGGCCGAAGGAUCUUCAUAGACGCAGGCUUUGCUUUCCCCUCUCCUUGAAUCGAUCAAUCUCUGAAAUUCUAACCGAACAACUGAAUCUUCAGACUUCCCCCUAUUCUGAUCCCAGGUCUAGACAUGACAGCCAAUCGAUUUAGCUAGUUUUCGUAUAAAGUUGAUUAUAAAAAAUUAUCGGCCUCCUCCCCUUUCCCCUUCCUCCUUCUCCUUCUCCAAGUCCAAUGAUGCGAAGCCCCUGCCCUAUUGGUCCUUUUUCGUCUCUGCUGGCUGCCGGGUCCAAGCUCAAGCAUUUUUUCUUUUACAAAAGAUCGAUCCGCCUAUAUAGCAAAACACAUAAAGACAGUGUUCUUAUAAGCUAAAAAGAAAACAAGCAGCUGGUUUAGCUAAGAGACUCCCAAGCUCGAGGGUGCAGUAGCAGUAGAGCAAGCAAAGCAGCAACAGUAUGCAUAUUAUUAGAUUAUGUACCGAAUAUACUAGUCCUACUAGAAGUUGUACUUAGAGUUGAAAUAGGUGUAGAAUUGUCACGAUCUAGGAUUAUGUGGAGAAGAAUCGGGAUGAAUGGGGAUAGAUUGGAUUAUAGUAGAUUAAAUAACAAUGAACGAUCCUGAACCUAAACGGCGCGACGCUCUCUGUCGCACUGAGAAGGUAGGCCGAUGGGCACUAAGAUAAAUCUUGAUCUAAUGCCUAACUGACCUGGGAUAGGAUACCUCCUUAUAUAGAUGGAGAACUAUUUAAUCUAAUCCUAGCAAACCUUAUCUAAUCCUAACAAACCCUAAUCCUAACAUUACUCCUGCCUUUUUGAGCAGCUCGUCCUCGAGCUGCAGCAUACACCUUGCUAUACUCAAACGAAGUACCAUAACCUAAACGAAGAUUCUCAAGCCUUUUACAUCUCAGCUUGUAAACAGCCGUAAAGAACUAAUACUGUUGUCAUCAUGGACAUAGACAGGAGAACCCCAUCCAGAACAGAAAAGUAGGCCCACGCCAAAAAAAAUCCAAAUCUGAAAGCCCAACUUGAUUGGCCAGCUGCUGAUCGAAGCCCAGUCCACCAGUCCGGCCCAUGUGACUUGCCCAGCUGAGUGAAGAAAAAGAGAAACCCUUGCUCCUCCUGUAGACAGCACCGCUUCCAACAACGAGCGCGAGAAGAGUGCCAUCCGCGAGAAAAUAAGCUGGUCCACGCCAAAAAAAAUCGCCCUCCCCCAAACUUCCUCAUGAAGUCGUCGCACAAUGGCCGUGCCCGCAAUUCGCAUCGCACGCAUGCCGCUCGGAGACCCACCGCACCAGCCAAUCCCGACGAAUGCGCCUAGAAAUUGGACACCCUCGUUGCCCACCCACCACAACAAAAAUCUCCACUUUCUCGUCCAUCUCUCUCGAGGGUAGCGACCGAGACAGCGCCACCGCUCUCGCUGCUGCCGGAAAAGGCGCCAUCUCUAGACCACAACUCCAAACCGUCCCUGCCGCUUCCGAAAACCACGCCGCCAUUCCUGCUCCUUCCGGAAACUGCGCCGUCUCAGUUGGAGGUGCCAGCGGCGGCAACAGCGCCAUCGGUAGGCCCAACAACUGAGUCGAAGACCGCUUGAGGGCAGCUUGGGCAGGGGAGGCAAUACCAUGGAUGCCUUCGUGCCGCCGACUACUGAUGGAUGGCCAAGAGGGGCUGCCACCUUUGGCUGCUGCUGCAGGCGACGCAUCCUGCUCCACGAGCGGCGCUUGAAGUCUUGCUGCCGUGGGCAUAGGAACAACACAGCCUGCCGGUCGGAUCACUCGGUGGCUCCGAGAGACAUGACUUGCUCAACUGAGUGAGCCGCCAAAGCCAGGAGGUGGGCCGCCAAAUCUAUCAUCUUCUUCGAAAUCUUGGCAAGGCCUUCACUGAUGUUGGGGACCGCAGCGAUCUCAGCACCCAUGGGCACGGAACCUGGCUCUGAUACCAAGUUGUCACGAUCUAGGAUUAUGUGGAGAAGAAUCGGGAUGAAUAGGGAUAGAUUGGAUUAUAGUAUAUGAAAUAACAAGGAACGGUCCUAAACCUAAACGGCGCGACGCUCUCUGUCACACUGAGAAGGCAGGCCGAUGGGCACUAAGAUAAAUCUUGAUCUAAUGCCUAACUGACCUGGGAUAGGAUCCCUCCUUAUAUAGAUGAAGGACUAAUUAAUCUAAUCCUAACAAACCUUAUCUAAUCCUAACAAACCCUAAUCCUAUCCAAUGAGUCUAGGACGCUAUUGACAGAAAACACGAGGCCUGGGAGAUCUGCUUAACUCCAGUGCAGGUCCAAAACUCGCCUUCGGGUGUGUAAGCGUGCCAGUUGAUUUGAUCCUGCAAUCAACAAGAAACAAAAACAAAGAAACCGCGAUUAAUCCUAUAAAUGAUAGCCGAUCGGCUAAGUGCCGAUGACAUAUCAUUUAUCUUUGAGCCGAUGUCAUAUAUGUAUCGAUCGGCAAUCAUGAAUAGAUAAGAAAGAACUAAAUCUACUCGAUCGGCUGUAGAUAUUAACAAUAUAUACUCCCUAUAUCGAUAUAUACUUAAACCAAGUGAUUGGGAUAGAUCGGACGCCAUGCCGAGACAGUAUAAAUCACUUAGAUCGAAAUAUAUAUUAAUAAUGGAAAUAUAUACGUUUAUAGCAUAGCCGAUCAGAUAGAUCUAGCAUGUAUCGGCUAAUACUCCGAUACUACUCUAUAUUAAGAUAUUAAAGCGAGUAAAAUAUAUCAAACAGAAGCCUAAUAUACUUAAAUGCAACAAGAUCUUAAUAUAAGGGGCGGAUUCAACAUGUCAAUUAAACAUAUAGAAUAAAAGUAGUUAAAUCAGGUAAGAUCGGCUGAAACCCCGAUACUACCCUAAUCGGCAACCAGAAGGCAGGCUAGAGAUUGAUAUUCUAAGCAUGACUUAAUAGAUCAAACUCAACUGAUGCAGCAUUAAGUAUGAAAAGAAGAACAAUAUCUAGACAAUCAAGCCGCUGGAAGUUUCAUAGAGUGGUAGAUAUCCUAUUCAAUCUACAUCAACAUCGAUAUUUAACCUAAUCAGCUGUAUUCUACCAACAGAUGUUAGCCGAUUGUAGGUUAGAUAACGAUAUUGCUAGAGAUUAUAUAAGAUAUAUGAUAACUCGACGGAUUACAUAAACAAGAUUAGAGUGUCAUAAAGAUGUAAGCACUAAUCCCGAGAACACAAACCGCCAUAACAAGUUUUACCUCUUGUUGAAGAUCGAAACCGAUGCAGCUCAACUCAAAAGCAAGAACUCGUCGAAACAAAACUAAAGCAAAAAGGGUGGCGAUGCGCCGAGAUUGUAUUGAACGUGUGUUAGUUUUUUACAUAAGACUCAGGGUCUAUUUAUACCCGAGGAUUACAAGAUAUGUGUCCAUACCGAACACGACUAUUAUCUCUAACAAACUCUAAGAUAUCAAAAGUCUUUACGGCAGACUUUUGCCCAAACAUAUCUCUAAGGAAAUUGCAUAGAAUAUCCUAAUUAAUAGAUACAAUUGCCUUCUCAGGACUCUAUCCCUACGUGGCAAUCACCAUGAAGCACAUUAACUCAACCCGAUGACGCACACCGAGUCGUACUGCCGGAAUCAACUGUAUCGGCUAGCCCUGUCCGACUUGAACUCUGCCGAUCCUGACCGUAGCCGAUUUGGAUUGCAGCCGAUUCUUACUCUGUUUCCGCAACAGCCCUUAUCUUCGAUUCCGCUUCGAUUCCAUCUUCUUCUCCAAUGCUGACACUACCAAAUUUGGUCGUUAACACAUGCCCCCCAAGUCCGGGAUAUUUGGUAAUGUUCCGGAUUUGCCGAAUACACCGAGUACGAGUAAAAAUCGCACUUGCCGUUUUCCGACCGUUACACAGUGCUUUAAAUACUAACCGCUGCCCCCGAGAAUCUUCACACCGUGACUUCUGUUUCCACCGCUUAAGCGAAUUCCGUCUUCUCUCUCUCUCCGGCGAUCUCCCCGACGCAUAAAGCGAUUUCUAGGCGAUUUCCUCUCCGGCCAGAUCUCCACCCGUGGCGAUAUCGACCUCCGCCGUUCCGUCUGCUGCGCCAUCAACCAGCCCAUCUGCUACACCAUCAGCCGAGUACGCAGAGGUAUGUAUCCAUUGGCUAGAUCCCCUUUUCCUAUACAGUAGAUUGAUUUUCUUCAUCUCAUCUUGUUUUCUUCUUCUCUACUUCUUCUGUACAUGUAGCAUCUUUCCAAUCUUGUUGCGGUUCCCAGUUUAUUGCAUGACCAACAAUACUUCCUCGGUCCAAUCGGCAAUCUUGACCCCACUGAAUUCGUCACAGCCAAAACCAAUAGAACCCCUUUUAGGUCAGCCAACCUAAGCAUGAGUCAUUGGAAAAACACAUUUAAAUCCUGGCCUUCUCUUGAGAAAAGCUGGCCUGUAUGGUACAAACGGAUAUCGGCUAGCAAGCAAGCUCAUUGGGAUGCGAUUGGAAUCGGCCAAGCCCUAGCCCUCACAAUAGCAAAUUCAGCCAAAGAUGAACCCCUGUUAGCUGCUGCCACUUAUUUUUGGUCCAACACCCUCAAUGCCUUCCUCUUCAACCAAGGGCCGAUGACCCCAACUCUGCUAGAUAUCAUCAUGCUCACUGGCCUAGAUGUGACCUCGUCGGCUAACCCCAUGAACUUGAAUACCAAGAACACCUUCGAGUUCAAGACUAAAAGCAUUGGAGGCUGGUCGGGAUAUAUUGCAGCAUACAUGGGCAAAGGACCAGUUACCCCCAGAGAGCAUGUGGCCUUCCUGUUGAUGUGGCUAGAAAAAUUCCUCUUCUGUGGGUCAAGCUGUGGCCCUACAACCAACUAGCAAUUCUUAGCCGAAGCCCUAGAAUCGAAGAAACAAUUUCCCUUGAGCAAGAUCCUUCUCGGCUAUCUAUACCAGAUGCUAAACAAUGCAUCAGCCAAAAUAAUCAUCGGCUCAGUAGUUGGGGCAGGUGGACCAUGGUGGUUAUUGCAAUCCUGGCUAAACCUGGUAGUCAUGAAAGUUGUCAAUCGGCCAUCUGUGACAGAAGCCAAAUUUCCAAGGUUAGAGCUGAUUGUGGAAGAUAGUGGAAAGGAACGCACUCAUCGCAGAUGCAUGUCAUACGGGGAGUAUGCAUCUACACCAGCCGAUGCAGGAGCAAAGCUAUCGGCUGAACUUCUGAAAGAUUGGUUUUUCAGUUUCUAUGAGGGAUUUCAGAAGGAUGCCCGAGUUUGGUUCUUUUAUGCCGACUCAAUGGAUCUUGAACUACCAGCCGAUUUCAGAUUCGAAGACAUUAAUCACGAAAAAUUUCAGCAAUCUAGAGAAGUCUUCACUACUGCCAUCAGCCCGUGUAUUCUCCCCGUUGGCAUCCAUCAAGGGAGAAAUAUCCAAGUCUCCUAUGAGUUCUAUCAUCCAAUGUCAUCGGCUAGACAACUCGGAAUGGGACAGCUGCCGAUCGGCUUGUACUUCGUCGACAAGAUCCAGUGUAGAGGUGACAUCUCUUCAACCUUAAUGAUGGAUCGGCUGCUGAACAUUCCUGGACCUCCAUUAGGCAACAUUGAGAACAUAAAGUUGGCAAGGUUCAGGAGCCGGGCAUUUGACAGAUGGUGGAGCGAAUGGAAGCUACACUUGUUCCAUCAAUCGGCUUCCAUGUAUAUGACAGAUCUAUUCCCCGAUGCCAUUCCUCAGGUAAAUCCUCACUUAAUAAAUCUUGUUUAAAUAAUUGACAGCCGAUUUGAACCUUGACUAACCUUUUCUUCUGAUUUGCAGACAACAGAAUCCUCUCCUCCUCGCCGGAGUAAUAGCGGCAAAGACAUUGAAUAUGCCCCGAGUCUAAUUCCAAAUGGAGGUGGGCGAUCUCCCUCUGCCAUCGGCUAUAAUGCCCCCAAGACUUCAGCGCUUCUUCAAGGGCUUAUCAGGCAACCAGCCGAUGCCGGCGAGAAACGAAAAACCAGAUCAUCGGCUGUGGAUACUUUAGCCCCAGCUUUAAAGAAGAAGACUAAGCCGAAGAAGUCUACGCCAGCUGAUGAUCUGCCUGCUCUAGAUCCAUCCAUUGAGCAAGCUCUGGAUGAAGAAGCAAUCGAGGAAGAUGUUGACCAAGCCGCAGCCGAAGUAAGCGAUACUGAAAGAACACCAUCGGCUUCACCUAAGCAGGCCCCUCCAAGUCCUUCUGUUCCAGCUCACUUUUCAAGAGUAAGCAGCUUUCAUCGAUUCCUUUUAUAGUCAUUCUACCUUAUAGCCGACUCCUCACAAUUUCAAUAAUUACAGAAAAAAAACUGCUGUGAGGAAGAGAUCGGCUGCGCCAACUCCCAAACCAGUUCCACUAGUAAUAUACUCUCAAUCCUCUCAUUAAUUAUGUCUAACAUUUGCCCUUUUUUCAGCCUCCUCCUCCUCCUUCACCUCCUGUGCAACCAGAAUCAGGCAAACGUACGCCAUCGGCUGCGGAUAGUCAUCAUGUGGAAGAAGAAGAACAAUUAACUGCCCCUGCUAUUCCAGUAAGUUUUAUAGACAUAAGUUUGAGAUCGGCCGAUCAUAUCUUGAUUCUUAACCAUCCAUGAUAUUAUUCCUUGCAGGUCUUAGCCGAUCUUUUCUCCUUCGACAUCAAGGAUUAUCUUGAUGAAACAGAAGAAGACACCACUAGCAAAGCAACAGCUCUUCUGCCUAACGAUGUGAAAAGAACACUUGAAGACAUCUCUCAUCGGCUAGGAGCAUCAUUAGACACAACCUGGUAACCAACUGUGGACCAAUCCGGGCAAGGUUCACAGACAUCCAAGCUCUUCUUCCGGAUGAAUUAGCCGACGCCCUUACUCCAGCCGUCUACCUUUAGCAACAUCAAUUCAAGUUGGAAAAGGCCAGGCAGAGAUUAGCCGAUCAUUGGGAGCGCAAAGAUAUCGAAGCUACAAUCCAGCACAAUCGGCAGCUUGUGCACAUAGAGAAGUCUAAGCUUGAUCAGCUGUCUGAGGGCCCGAUCAAAUCCAAUAUUGAUCGGCUUGAAGCUCGCAAAAUUGAACUCUUGGCACAACUUCAAGAAUGCAACGCCGAGCUGGAUAUAGAGCACAAGAAACUAGUCGAUCUCCCGCAAGCCGUUGAAGAACAAAAGGCAAAGCUGAAAUCGGCUAUCAAGAAUGUCGCUGAUAUGACUAAGUCCUUGAAAGUCAUCCCUGGAACCGAUGCUCAAGACACCCAAGCUAUUGAAGAAAUAGAACAAAUUAGGAAAAGGGCUAUACCGGCUAUCCAGUGAUAUGUGUCCCAGUGACAUUCUGUGUAACAAACUUUAGAAAACUUUUGUAAUCGGCUAACUUUUGUAACUUUGCUAUCUGUAUAUUCCUUGUGCCAAUUAACAUACUUUACAAAUAUGCUCAAAAUUUUGCGAUUUUCCAUGUAUAUGCCCCCCUAAUUUUACAAUGUCAAAAACAUUGAUAAAAUUAUAAAAAACAACUAAGGGCGAUAUAACCAUAUCUUAAUAUCUUAUGUCCUGAAGCAGCAUCAACCAACUGAUCGGCCACUAGCAUCGGAUAUUCGUCCUUCGGGGUAGCUUUAUUCAAAUCUCUAAAAUCAAUACAUACCCUCACCUUACCAUUUUUCUUGAUAACAUGAACUAUACUAGAAACCCAUUCAGCAUAUCGGCAAGGACAAAUAAAGCCAGCAUCAUACAAACGUUUGAUUUCAGCCUUGACAGGUUCAAGCAUAUCGGCUUUGCAUCUCCUCAGGGGCUGCUUGUGCGGUCUAAUCCCUGGUUUGAGAGGUAGCCGAUGUUCAACGAUUGAUCGGCAGAGUCCUGGCAUCUCAUGAUACUCCCAAGCGAAGCAGUCUCUAAAUUCUUUCAAAAGCUUUAUCAACUUGGUUCUAAAUUUUGAAGACAAAUUCUUACUAAUAAAUGUCGGCCUUGGUCGAUCACCUGGACCUAUAUCUAUUUCUUCUAAAUCAUCAACCGACAUGAAACCUUGACCUUGCUUGUCAUCAAGAUCAUCUACCGUAUCCUUGGUGUAGACAUUUGAACCCUCCACGAUGCCCUCAAAGUAAUAGCUUGGGUUCUCCAUCUUCAAUUGGCUAUAUAUCAGAAUCGGACACUUUUAGAAAAUCCCCAUCCCAAACCUUUCCAGAUAAACAAUCAAGGCCAUCCAUCUCCUCCAUUUUAUUGUCAUUCUCUACGAAGGGCGACUGCUUUGUGUAUGGUAAGCCUGUGCAUUGGACCAAGGAUUGUCCUGAUCGCAAGGACAAGAAGUCUGCAAACAUGGUUGUUAGCGAGGGCGGAGGAACAUCGGGGUACGGUAAAUCCUUACCUACAGUUCUCUGUGUUUGUCACUCUUCUGAUUGGUGGGUUGAUACUGGUGCUAAUAUUCAUGUGUGUGCUGACUUUUCCCUGUUUUCCUCUUAUCAGGUCGGGAGAGUGUUGACGGUCGUUAUUGAUCAGUUUCGACCGUCAAUAUUACUAAAAUAGAGGAGAACUAGUGAUUCUUGCAAUGCAUAUAUCUGUUAGAAUAAUAAACUUCUACUAGUAUUAGGUAUACUAACCUUUUGUAGAGAAUGACAAUAAAAUGGAGGAGAAUCGACAUCAACACAGACGACAAAUCAAUCGGACGAUGUCAAGAACCAGACUUAUGUAUGAAUGGGCCAAGAACUCAGAAUUAAUACAAAGAAUUGGGCCAAAAUUCACAAGUCUGCGAAUAGAAGUAACAGAGGAGGCCACCAGCCGAAAUUAGGCUGGAUUGGGCCGGCCCCAGGUUUGGCUGAACCAGGGGGUUCGGCCGAACCCUCCUCAGCGCCAUCCGAUCCAGGGCUUCGCCUGGACGGUGUGGAUUAGCCCCCAAUGACGGUUGGAGGGUAUUUCCGACCAUUCCAACCAUCACAACCGUCAUUGGGAGGCUAUAUAAGGAGUUGCCAUUCUCACUUCACUCACACACCUCAAGCAAUAGCUCUCUCAUUUCUCUCAAGUUUAGUUUAGUAGUAUCUAGCUGGUGGAAUAGGAAUAGAGUAGAAAUCAGGAGUCCGGAAGCCUUCGGAAGAGUUCGGGUAUGGCUCUAGCAGCUCUCCUUUACUCUUUUGUAAGCUUUGUACUUUUAUUAGAAUACUCUUCUAUAUACAUUUAUGGUAUUGAAAUACUUUCUGAGUAUACGAGUAUCUACUUUACAUUAUGUUCAUGUUAUACUGAAUAUACGGCUAGCUUAUCUGGGAGAUGCUUUGAUGCGGGUAUAAUGUUUGCUUAUGCAAUUAAUCUAUGUCAUGACGAUUAUAUUAGAGUAGUAUCUGGUAGUUUAGACGUGGUGUCUAGAUUACGGGAUAUCAUUAUUUGGGGUUAUAUAUUGCGGAUGAGAGGUGGGCCGCUGAUGGUGACAGCUCAGUACGGGUAUUCCUCCGCGCCGAUAUAUAAUCCUAACUUAAUUUCCUGGGGAGAUGAGGGUGGGAUUACACUUGCGCAAUCUCACUAUGUGGACAAGGUCUUGAGUCGCUUUGGUUACAAUGACUACAAGCCAGCUCCUAUUCCUUAUGAUCCCAAUGUGCUAUUAAGGAAAAACCAAAGGAUAGCAAGGAAUCAAAAUAUGCCAAAUUGUGACCAAAUUUCCAACUGUGAUAAUAAAAAGUGAUUAUCAAGGUGAACAGUUUGAAGGACAACAUGAAGUCAUCCAGGCCUGUGAAAAGAAGACUGAAAUCUGUCAGAAAGCAGAGAAACUCCGGAGUGAUAGCUUUGGACUAUGUCCAGACAGCUAAAAAUCUGGCAGAUCAGGUUACUAAGGGACUAUCACGCAAGUGAUAGACAGUGAAUCGAGGAAGAUGGGUUGAGCCCACUUUAGUUGUCAGUAGUGGUAACCUGUCUUUUGUGAUCGGAGAUCCCGUGAAUUAGGAUGGAGAAACAAACUAUUAGGUGACUGGGAGGAGAGACCCUGAAAUGGGCUCAUCUCUAUGAUGUAUUUCUCUCCUUGUCUGUAUGGAAGGAUGGUACACUACUAGAAAAACGAUUUUUCAUGGCGUUUAGAAAAUAUUUUUCAUGGCGGCUACAAGAAAAAACCGCCAACGUAGAAAAUAGGGAGGGUGGGGGGUCACGGGCCGCCAGCGAAAAUCAGUUUUCGCUGGCGGCCACAUUAAGAGGUCCGCCAUAAAAAAUACUAUAUUUUUCGAGGCGGACCCCUUAAAUGUCCGCCAGCGAAAAUUAGCGUUUUCACUGGCGGUUACUAAAAGAUCCGCCAGCAAAAAAAAAGGGAUCCGCCAGCAAAAAGCAAAGCUCGCUAAAAAAAUUUUCGUGGCAUUUAAAACCAUGCGCGCCAGAUCAAUUACUUCACCCACCCACACAUUUAAAACCAACUUUCACCCACCCACCCACUGCAUUCAUCUCUCCUCUCUAUCUCUUUCUCAUCUCCACCUCACCUCUCUCCCCUCCCCUCCCUCUCCCAGAUCUAGCCGGAGGGAGGGGGCGCCGGCCGCCGCGGCGGCGACGGCAAGUGGACCUGGUGGCCGGCGGCGUUCGGGCGUGGGCGGGGAGGCCGGAUCUGCCGCCGUCGUACGACGACGACGGGCCGGGCCGCGACAACGAUGACCACCACGGCGGCUGGUGACGACGACCACGGCGACCACGACGACGGGCCGUGGCUGCGGUGCCCGAGCGCCGCUGCCCGCCGCGACGACGACCACGACCCCGACAACGGGCUGGGGCGACGGGCCGGGGCGGUGACGACUACUUAGGUCGCGGUCACGCUCAAGACGUGGCAUGCGCAGCUCGCUGGCGCCACGGCCGUGCUGGUGGCGGACGGUGUCGACGAGCCGCUGCUCACGAUGGACAGCCCCGAGGAGGAGACCCCCGACAUGGCGUUCCUUCUCGUCGGCGCUCAUCACCAAGCAGUUCGGCGACGCCCUCCGCGCCGCCGCCGACGAGUUGGUGGUGCGGCUGGACUGGAGCGAGUCGAUGACGCACCCGAAUGAGCUCUGGACGAACAGCAACGAUGAGUGCGGGCCGCGGUGCGACGAGCAGGCGGCGUUCGUCGGUGCGUUCUGCGGCCACGCGCAGCUGCUGGAGGCCGCACUACAUCACCUGGUUCUGCCCCGACGCAUUCCUGGAGACGAGGCAGUGCAAGGCGCAGUGCAUCAACCGCGGCGGCUAUGGUAGGCGGGCGACGACGAUUUUGAUGUAUUGCUCCAUUUUAAUGUUUGUUUGUAUUGAUGUUUUCAUACAUGCAUGUAUUGAUGUUUAUUUGUUGAGAAUGAAGUAAGAAAUUGAUGUAGUGUUCUCUUGAGUUUGGAUCUGAUGUGGAUUUGAAUUGUUAUGGAUUUGAGAUUUGGGGAUGUGGAUUUGGGAAUGCAGGUAGCAGCAUGG
This 88353-nucleotide long non-coding RNA is filed under the name Oryza sativa (Asian cultivated rice). RNAcentral describes it as "long non-coding RNA (OSAT_LNC001927)". The stretch from base 49471 to 49675 matches the Rfam family "MIR812 microRNA precursor family". The record is from RNAcentral. Lineage: Eukaryota; Viridiplantae; Streptophyta; Magnoliopsida; Poales; Poaceae.